This 57196-nucleotide long non-coding RNA is filed under the name Citrus maxima (pomelo). RNAcentral describes it as "long non-coding RNA (CMAX_LNC003593)". The stretch from base 55033 to 55228 matches the Rfam family "U2 spliceosomal RNA". The record is from RNAcentral. Lineage: Eukaryota; Viridiplantae; Streptophyta; Magnoliopsida; Sapindales; Rutaceae.
CAACCUGCUUUUGACAAGAAGCAGUUUGUAACAUACAUGAAGAGAUUCAUCAAGUUGCUGACGCCCAAGCUGAGUGAGGAGAGGCAGGAGAUAUUUAAGAAGAAUAUUGAGGGAGCGACCAAGUUCUUGCUCUCGAAGCUCAGUGACCUUCAAUUGUAAGUGCCUCUUUAUAUUCUGUUGUGUCUUGAUGAAUUCAUAAAAUAUGAAGUAUUUUAUUGAUGUUUGCUUGUGUGCUCAUGACAGCUUUGUUGGGGAGAGCAUGCAUGAUGAUGGCUGUCUUGUCUUUGCUUACUACAAGGAAGGUGCGACCGACCCAACAUUUUUGUAUAUUGCUGAUGCAUUGAAGGAGGUGAAGUGCUAAGCCGGGCUUCGAAGAGGAAGUGCCUGCUGUAGUUCUAGUUUUAAUUAUUGCCCGCGGUUAUUUUUAUGUAUCUUUUGUACUGGUUUACUCGGGACUUGUGCUUGCUGUUUUUUAGUUUUUAUUUUGACAUAAACAAUAUGUUUUUCUGCUCCUAAUUAUUGGGUUUUAUGGUUUGAGAUUGAAUUACCAAAUAACUUAAUAGUUUUUGUUAUCUUCUUCCCUCUUCCGAGGCAUCAAUUCUCUGCCCUUUUUUUUUUUUUUUGUUUGGGGACCAAGUGAUGUCAACAAGUGGAAAUGGUGAGAGAAUAACAGAGCUUCUUUUCAAAGGAGCAUAACAGAAUAUGCCUUUAAUGAUUCUCUCUUAGUGCAAGAGUCUUUACCACAAAGAAAAAGUUAUUUUUGCACAAGGGAAUUUCUCUUGUUUUAGUAUACUGGGGGGAUUGUUUUGUAUUUUAUUCUCGCCGAAGUCGUUGCAUCAUAGGAACAAAAACGAGCACAACUAAAACUAAGAGGAUUAAUACAAAAGUGCCAAUGGACUUUAUUUAUGCUUUGCUGCUACUAAGAUUGGCUUAGUGCUUUGACUUGGGCAUCUUGACGAUCAUUACGGUGCACGAACAAUGGUGAGCGCUGUAAUCACUGACGCUGCCCAAUACCGCUCUGUAAUUGCAGAAUUAGGAUUUUCUUAUGUUCCAAACUCAAUUAACAGCUUAGAUUAGGUGACAAAUUUGAAAGUAGCGUAAAUUUUGUACCUUUUGACAGCUCCAUAACCAUGACUUCCCAGGACCAAAAUCGUUGGAUGGAAUCUUUCAACAGCUUCGGUCAUGACAUUCCUAGGAUCACCUUGCAUCACAUGCACUGGCAUAUCAUUUACCUGCAUUAAAAUAACAUUUUCGGCACCCAAUUCAUAUAAUUGCGUUAAUACGUUUCACAAGCAAAUCAAGUUUUUCAAGUGGUGAAAAAUGUCCCUAUGCGAGACAGAUCUUUUCUUUCCUUUUUUUUUUUUCCCCCAGUUACCUCUCUCUUGGCACAUAUUGAAGUGGCCUUAUCAGCGACCUUUUGUGCUCUCUUCUUCGUAUCAAGCUCCACAAGAUUAAUAACAUGAGCGGAUCCUGCGAUCAAUAAAUAACAAAAAUAGAACAAUGUUACAAAACGAAUAACUUAUGAUAAGAUCGUACAUAGACUAUGAUUUUAGAGCCCCGCACGCUUCCUUGUUUUUAUUUUAUUUUACUUUAUUUUUUUGUAACGCACAAUCUUAGAUCAUUGGGUUAGUUAUACGCUCACCGGCGCUGCCUUGUCCGGCGCCGGAUAGUCCGAGGAGAGAAGGAGGAUUCGGUCGUGCAUGAAUGAGCACGAGCUGAAAGGUAUGAUUCGGAGCAAAAGGAGGAAAGAAAUAAUCAAGUGCCCAUUCUAAUGCGUAGUAGCUAUGGUUACUAUCGUCAAUUGCUACCAUCAUUAUCGGUUUUGUUUGAUCACCCAUUAUUUGAUUGAUCAAUCAUACAAUCAAAUAAUUGCCUGUUCUUUCAGUUUCUCUCAGUUUAAUUUGUAGUGAGUAAAAUGAGAACAAAAACAAAAUAAAAAACAAAAUAAAAAACAAAGUGAUAUGCGGGUGGGUGCAUUGCUUUUCAAUUGUCGUGUGUUGUGAAGAACGUGUGGAUUUGGGAUCACUUGUUGAGUUUUGCGCAGUUGCCGUUAACUUUUUUCGGGCCCUUGACUCGGUUUAUGAAUUGAAGCCAAAACAAUUUAUUUACUUAUUAAUUUAGCAUUUGAAGAUUAUUUCAGUUUAAAUACAGUAAUAAAUUCUUGAUGAUAAAAAAAAUACAGCAACCAUAUCUGCAAGGGCCAUUCAUUGACUUAUAAAAAAAAUCCAAUAAUUUAAAAUUUUAAAUGUUGCAUCCACUGUUAACAGAAAAAAAAAAAGGAGAAAAUUUCUUCUUGGCAUGGACCAAUUUUUGCAUGAUUCUCUUAUGUUUUCCAAUAACCACUACUUUUCAAAAUGCAUUUGAAUUUGAUGAAGAGUGAGAACGCAACAAUAAUUUAUUUGUGACAUGUAAUAAUUAGGAGUUGGCUUUUACAGUUUUGUGAAUGUAAUACUACCAACAGAUUCUUAACUAUAAAUUAUUUAUACGACUUGGUUUUUGUUAAAUACUACGUUCUCUAAUUGGGAAUAGAACAUUUGAAAAUUGGAGAAAACGGAAAAGACCAUCCCAUCACUCCGAACUCUGUUCCGGGGAUCUUUCUGGAAAUCGGUGACACUAUGUAUUUUCUUUAGUAUUUCAGAAAGCAAUUUUGGCAGCACAUCAUCGCGUUUAUUAACUCCAGCCGUACAUUACCAAAAGAUCCAAGAAUUUUCGAUGAAAGAAUUUGGAUUAUUGAAUGUGAAGAUGAUUCAAUUCGAGAUGAUGGGCAAGGGAAAAGUAAAGAACUUCGAGAACUCCGAAUAAGAAACAAUUUAAAAAUAGGGAAAGAUUUGAGUAUACCAAGGAUAAGAGGGUUUACUUUUUGUGUUGGAAGCUGAGAUCAUUUCCAAGCUUGUAGUUGUAUGAAACAUUAAGAUGUGAUUAAUUCAAUAUCCUCUUUUAAAAUUUUCAAAUUAGUGAAACUAUUGAAUUGAUUGUAAUUUUGAAUCUUAGGUGGGUUUGAUGACACUGCAUUAUUUCUGUACCAUAAAUCUGCAAAUGUUCAUUUCAGCAUAAAAAAAUAAUAAUUAUUAUAGCUAAAUGAGCGGAACCUUGAAACUACUAGAUAUCAAUUUACAUUUGAUAUAACAAAAACUCAUUGGAAAAAAAAAAGUGGCAAAUCAAACUCAUGAACGUUCCUGGUCACAUGGUCAUGGGAGCUAAUUUUCAGAAACAUGGCCAGGAAAGGUCAGACCUUCUACGUAUGCAAUGGCAUCCAUUUGUACAAACGGCCAAUCAAAUUCUUCACAAAAAGAAGAGAUCUCGGAUUGUUCUAGUUUGGUUUCUUUAUUAGGAUAAUAACUUGUCGAAUUCUUCCCCGUAAUUGUCAGGGCUAAAACUUCAUCUUCACCGAAUUUCUUUCGACAUUAUGGCACUAUAAAUCUACUAAGAAGAAAAUAUGAUUCUACAUUUUUUAAAAAAAAAAACUUUUUUUUUUAAAGAUUAAUUUAUAGUCAGUUUAUGACCAUUAGUAAAGCUAAUCACUUCACCCAUAAUUUAUUUCCAUUUGUUAAUUGAUUUUCAACAAUGCGGUGUCCGAUGUGUUUGCUUGUGAUCUAGCGCUUAUGACGCUUGAUGAGCGGUCGAGAGAAGUGAACUUGUACUCUUUUAAGUUUGAAACAUGAUCAGAACAUCAAUUUCAUUGGACACAUACAGAAUAAGCUCACACAUAUUAUACUACUUUAUUGCUAUAUGAACGAAAAAGCAUCAUGAAAAUAGUAAAAACUCGCAAAACAAACUCAUAUAUGGUCUUCUUAUAUACUGAUAGAAUAGAAGAAGCUUGCUGGGACGAGAUCAGAGUUUUAGAGCCAGGGGGCGAGAUCAGGCUCUCUAAGUAAUCAAUUUCUUCUAUUUCCGCAAAAUGGGUAUAAAUUUCUUCACUAGUGGCAAUCAUCAACUGUUCAAGUUUCAUUUCUUGAUUGGGAUUAUACCUUAUCAUGAAUUUAUUCUCCCCGAUUUUGAGUGUCAUUGUUAUGAUAUCAUCCUCACCGCAGCCUGCACAACACUGCGACAGUAUCAAUGCAGCCCAAUUACCAUAAUCAUCCGCUCCUAUAGAAAUUCCAAGACAAUAGAGUUUUUGCCAAGAACACUUCACUCCGUUUUCUUUCAUCACCCAUAGCUCAACUUUCGCGCCCAGUGCGAGUAAACAGAGGCGACCGCCAACGACUCCCAAUCCCAUCGCUUGAUGAGCAUAAUCAAAAUCAGGUUUCGGCACCCGAGAGAACUUGUCCGUGGCUAAAUCAAAAGCAGUAAUCCCAAACAUCCCAAAUUCACAUUGAUUGUUUGUCAACCAGUGGAGACUUUCAUUCACUAGGGUCCCCAUCGGUCGCCCCUGAAAGUUUCUAGCUUCACAACAGCAAUGAAUACUGCCGAACCCGUGUUCGACCUUUUUCCAAGAAUUGGUUUUUGCCGUAAAAACGAUACCUUGUAUGUCAAUACACCUGCUAUUAUCAUCUUGCAAGUUAUCCUCCAUUUUAUGAUCUAUUUCCUGAAAAUAGAACAUAACCUUAUAACCAUUAGUGGAUGAAUCGUAUCCGAAACCGUACUUGACUAUAUCGUAAUCAUACGUCGCGUCAGGAUCGGCUGGUAACUUUGUAUAAGCACCGGUGGAGGGAUUCCAAAUAAAAAUCUCUCGAUAGUUGUCGAGAGCCAAGCAAAUCAAGCCGUGGCACGAGCCGAUAAAUCGAACCAUACCAUCCGGUCUGAUGAAGGGAAAAUGCAGUCUUGUCAACGCACGUUGUGAUGAAACAAAAACACACUUUAUGCCCUUUAAUCGUGCAUUUCCAAAUUAAACGCAUAUUUUAGUAAAUUUCGAAAUUUACCACGAUCUCCCAUGAAUCCGAGCUUGCAGCUUGUUAUGGAGCUUCAACAGAGUUGCUGCUGCUUCGGUUUAGCUUCUGAAUUCCGCUUUCUUUUCCUUAGCUCAAGGAUCGGCUUGCUUCAAAAUUUACUGUGCACACACACGGGAGACAAACGGGAGAGAGAGAUGCACUGCACUCAUGCCACAGAUUUUUGAACAGUUAACUUCCAAUGGGCUGAAGUUACUUAAAUACAGUGGUUGAGCGCAGGGACCCCUCAUGUGUUAGUACAAAAUUGCCCAUCCCAUUGUGGGCGAAAAUAACACAAUUAAGGAUAUACUUGUCCAUAAUAUACUACUGUACAAGGUAUGUCAAAAUUGCUCCAUAAUAUUUGACAAUAGUCACGUAUUAAUUCGGUAAAAUAUAGAAAACAAUUAGAAUGAUUUAUGUCAGUCCACAUAAUAUGAGAAAUAAAUCUAACAAUCUCCCACUUGGACGACAGAAAUCACUCCAAUGAUAAAUUUAAAAUAAAAUAAUAUUUUGAAAACAACCGAAUUAAUCAAUAUGUGACUAUAACAAAAGGUCAAAUACAAGCAAUCACCCAGAACAUAAACAAGUCCAAAAUGUGCCAUAAAUAUCAAAUCAUAUGUGCACCGACAGGAUGCUCCAUAUAACAAGACACUUAUAAACACGUGACCAUGUAGUAGUAUACAAGUAUAAUUAUGGAAAUAACAUGACAAUGUGAUCAACAUGCUCAUUUCCAUAAAGUCCAGAUGUCUAGCAAAAUGAGACGAAAACAAUAUGUCUCCUAGACCAUCGCUUCUUUAUAACCAUAAUGAGACUAUAGCAAAAUGUCUCGAGAAGCGAGCUUUCUUUUUAAUCAUAAUGAGACUAAAUCAAAAUGUCUCAAGAAAGCACACUGAAGCUAAAUCAUAAUGCUUCAGUCUUUAAUGUCCAUAUUGAGACUGAGCAAAAUGUCUCGGACCAUCGUAUCCUCAUUCUAUACAUAAUGCCAUACGCAGCCAAAUGUGUACACAAUAUAUGGCAUAUCAAUAUCACAUAACAACAUGCAUGCAUGAUAACAAAAUGAGUAAUACAUAAGCUCAUUUAAGUUGCAACUCAUAAUACAAACCAGAACUCCCACUGACUCAGCAUAUAUAAGUGGAUUCAAAUAAUCCCAUAUGCGUUACAUGCUCCCUAAAUACUUUUGGAGCUAAAGCUUUAGUAAGUGGAUCGGCUAACAUGAGUUCUGUAGGGAUAUACUCUACUGAUACACAAGAUAGAGCAAUUUUCUCUCUCACAAACAAGUAUUUAAUAUCAAUGUGCUUGGAACGUGAGGAACUCCCUGUAUUGUGAGAAAAAGAAACAGCAGCAGAAUUAUCACAGUAUAUCUUUAAUGGCCUCGGAACGGCCAAUAUACAAUCUAGCCCUGUGAUAAAAUUCUGCAUCCAUAAAGCAUGACGUGUAGCCUCAAAACAAGCUACAUAUUCUGCUUCCAUUGUUGAAGAAGCUAUGAGUGUCUGCUUGACACUUUUCCAGGAUAUAGCUCCUCCUGCCAUCAUAAAGAUGUAACCAGAUGUGGAUUUCUUGUCUUCCAAGCACCCUGCGAAAUCAGCAUCAGAAUAUCCAACUAUAUUCAAAUAGUCAGAUUGCUGAUAUGUCAAUACAAAAUCUUUAGUGGCUCGCAAAUAUCUGAGUACUUUCUUUGCAGCCUUCCAGUGUUCAAAUCCAGGAUUGCUCAGGUAUCUUCCAAGUACUCCCACUGGAAAAGCAAUAUCAGGGCGAGUACAGACUUGAGCAUACAUCAAGCUACCCACAACGGAUGCAUACGGGACUGUUUGCAUUCUAGCUUUGUCUACAUCAUUAUCGGGACAUUGAGACUUGGAAAUUUUGUCACCUUUCGAAAUUGGAGCUUUCCCAGGAGCACAAGACUGCAAAUUGAACCUUUUCAAAACGCGAUCAAUGUAAGUCUUUUGAGACAAACCUAGAAUUCCUCUAGAUCUAUCACGAAGAAUCUCUAUCCCUAAUACAUAAUGGGCUUCACCAAGAUCCUUCAUAUCAAAACUGCAUGACAACAUAUGCUUUGUCUCAAGUAACAAAUUAGUGUCAUUAGCAGCGAGCAAGAUAUCAUCCACAUAAAGCACCAAAAUGAUAUACUUGCUCCCACUGACUCUCAAGUAUAUACACUGAUCAACGGCAUUCUCCUGGAACCCAUAAGAGGUGACAAUAUCGUGAAAUUUCAAAUACCACUGUCUGGAUGCUUGCUUAAGUCCAUAAAUGAACCUUUUAAGCUUACACACCAUGUUUUCUCUACCAGACUCAACAAAACCAUCAGGUUGCACCAUGUAUACAUCUUCAGACAAGCUCCCAUUGAGAAAAGCUGUCUUCACAUCCAUCUGAUGCAAUUCUAAAUUGAAAUGAGCUACCAAUGCCAUGAUAAUACGAAAAGAGUCUUUGGUAGAAACAGGAGAGUAGGUUUCAGUGUAAUCAAUGCCUUCUCUUUGACUGAAACCCUUAGCCACAAGCCUGGCCUUAUACCUCUCUACCUGACCUCUGACAUCUCUUUUGGUUUUGAAAACCCAUUUGCAACCAAUUGGUCUGCAUCCAUCUGGUAACUCAACUAAAUCCCAAACCCCAUUAUGAUACAUAGAUGCCAUCUCAUCAUGCAUCGCAUGUAUCCAAGAUGAUGAUUCUGAACAACUGAUGGCCUCUUGAAAGGUAAUAGGAUCAGAUGAAGAGUCAGCAUCAAAAUCAUGCUCCUGCAAGUAAACAACAUAAUCAUCAGAAAUUGCAGGUCUCCUGAUCCUCUCUGAUCUCCUCAAUGGCACAUCAGUACCAUCAUCCUCUACAAUCAUAGGCUCCAUAUUAUGAUGAAGUUCAGGAUCAACAGAAGAAUCAUCAAUAUGUGGUAAUCCCAUCGCAGAAGUCGGAAAAGAUGGAAUAGGCAAAACCACACGUUCUUCUCUCAAUGUCAGACUGCGAGGCUCAGAACUCCCACCAUUGUGAUCAUCCUCAAAAUAAAUGGCACGAUCAGACUCAAUGAUUCUAGUAGUGUGGGAAGGACAAUAAAAUCUAGAACCCCUUGAGCCGAUACAAUAGCCAAUAAAAUGACCACUAAUUGUUUUCGGAUCAAGUUUCCUUAAUUGUGGAUUAUAGGGCCUCACUUCUGCUCUGCAUCCCCAGACAUGAAAAUGACGAAGACUCGGUCUCUUUCCUGACCACAACUCAUAAGGAGUUUUGGGCACCGAUUUACUAGGUACCUGAUUCAAAAUGUAAGCUGCAGUUCUUAAGGCUUCACCCCACAGAAAAUCUGGUAAGGUGGAGUUACUCAGCAUACACCGCACCAUGUUAAGAAGGGUACGAUUUCUCCUUUCUGCAAUUCCAUUCUGUUCAGGAGUCCCGGGCAUUGUAUACUGGGCUUCUAUUCCACAUUCCUGAAGAAAUUUAGCAAAAGGUCCAGGAUUACGCCCAGUUUCAUCAUAUCGCCCAUAGUACUCACCACCUCUGUCUGACCUUACUGCUUUAAUUUGCUUGCCCUUUUGGAGCUCAAUAUUAGCCUUAAAGGCUUGAAACACAGAUAAUGAUUCAGACUUUUCAGCAAGAAGUUCAACAUGACCAUAACGAGAAAAGUCAUCGAUGAACGUGAUGAAGUACUUAUAACCUCCAAUGGCAAUAGGAGUAAAUGGCCCACAAAUGUCUGUAUGUACCAACUCCAGCACCUGUUGACUCCUCUGAGUUCUCUCUUUUCUGGUUUUGGCAGUAAGUUUACCUUUGAUACAAUCAACACAAGUGCCAAAAUCAGAGAAAUCUAAAUGAUGUAGAAUGCCAUCUUUAAUAAGCCUCUCCAUCCUCUGUUUAGAAAUGUGACCUAACCGUUUAUGCCACAACAUAGAGGAAUUUUCAUCAACCCUGGCACGAUUAGAGCUAACAACAUGCACAACAUGAGCAUUAGAUGAUGAUUCAACACCACGAGAAAAUAAAUCAAUCAUAUAUAAUCCAUCAUAUAGAGUGCCAGAACCAACUAACUCUGAAUUGCGAAAUAAGUAAACUUUUCUAUCACCAAAAUGAAAAGUAUAGCCACAUCUAUCCAAAAUAGAUACAGAUAUCAAGUUUCUCCUAAUAGAAGGAAUAUAAGCCGUAUCUAACAGAUCCAAAAAAUAGCCUGUGGCUAGAUGUAGUCUGACAACUCCUAUGCUUUCAACUUUGGCUGUCACUCCAUUGCCCAUGUGUACUAUCAACUCCCCUUCAUUGGGCUCCCUCCUGCUUCUGAAUUCCUGUAAGGAAUUCGUUAUAUUAAUGGUUGCACCAGUAUCCAACCACCAAGUAUCAGAAGGAACAUUAACUAGAUUAGAUUCAAAGCCUACAAAAGCUACAGGAAUACCUUUCUUUUCCAACCAUGCUUUGAAUCCCCUGCAUUCAGCUCUCUUGUGCCCGGGUUUCUUACAAAAGUGGCACUUUCCCUUAAAGCUCUCAGCAGUGGAACCAGAAGUGGUAGAAGAAUUACCACGUGAAGUUUUCUUGCCAAAUUUUUUCUUCUUAAAAAACUUAUUGCUGCCCUUUGAAGAGCCUUUCUUCACACUUCCACUCUCUUGAGUAGUUGCCACCAUGACAGUGUGAGAUUUCCCCUUAUUCAAUGAUUCCUCUUCCUGAACCACAUAAGCAGUCAACUCAGUGAUAUUCCAAGUGUCUCUCUGAGUAUUGUAUUGGCUUCUCAAAUUGCCAAAUUGUGGUGGAAGAGAUUCAAGGAUUUGGAAGACCAGGUAGUCAUCAGGCAAAGUGACAUCCAUGUCCUUCAGCUUCUUAUGGUAACUAGUCAUCUUAAGGAUGUGUUCUCUGACCCCAGAAACACCAUCAUACUGGGUAUUAGCAAGCAGCCUCAGAUAGUUACCCUUUUCUGCCUUAUCUACCUUCUUAAAGGUUCUUCCAACAGCUGCCAAGUAAUCUUUGGCCUUAUCACAUGCAGGGAUGCUAUCUCUAGUUGUUCUAUCAAUGGUGUAUUUCAUUGUAUCCAGACAGUGUCUAUUGGAUUCAUCCCAAGCUGCCCACUCUGCUUUUCAGCAGCAGUGCUCUUAUCUGUGGGCUUGGCUGGUUCAUCAACUCUUAAUGCCAAGUCUCUAUUCAGUGUAGACAGAUAAAACAAAAUGGACUCACGCCAGUCCUCAAAAUUUGUCCCAGUUAAAUUCUUGAGGGAGGCUACUUGGAGAAAGGAGAGAAUAUCUAGAGCUGAGGAAGCAAUAACAAAAGAAUUAUCAAGCAUGCAAAACUAAAAUCAUGCUAUAAGCAAUUACUCCUCAUUCUAAGUUUCUCCAAUAGCAACACAAUAUGUUAGGCAUCCUUUAACAAUAUAGGAAUGCACUAACCUAAAGAUAAAGCAUACAAGUUGAAUAUAACACCAACAUUGACCUAUUACCGACAGGGUAAUUAAGCCACUCAGUAGAAAAUACUCAACAAAUCUCUUUAUCUUCCCAAGCAUCCUACCAAGUAGUGAUUUGCCGACAGGGCAGUAUCAUCACCCGUAUGGAUCUUGGUAAUAACAAUAAUAAUCCAUCACAUAAUCCAUAAUUCAUAAUUAUAAAUGGACAACCAAUUGCAAAACACCAAAUAAUUUAUCAUGAUUGGUCCUACGAUAAGCAGAUACACAAUCACUCUAAAUUGUAGUUUUGCAUCAUAUAUAUAUUUCGUAUAUUAACAAAAUUUAGGCUAAAUAAAUUUUGUCAAAUGAAAUUAAUAAGAUAUUAAAUCAAAUAAAAUAUCUACAUGCCUCAAUAAAAUAUAUAAAUGAUAUGCCCAUAAGAUUCAAUAAAUGAUGGAUUAUUUUAAAAUUUAAAAUUCUGAAAAAUCGCCAAAAUUGAAAGGAUUUUGGACUAAAAUGAAAAAUUUUCAGAAUUAUGUUUACUGUUUUAACUAUUAAAACUUUUGGUCCAAAUUGUAAAUAAAAUAAAAUAAACUGUUGGGCCAUACUAUAAUUUCCCAAAAUUCAAGGGACCAACUGAUCUUUUACAUAGUUGACCCUCGGUCAAGGACCUUUUCGAAAAUUUUGCAAAGAUUUUGGGCCAUAGUGACAAUUCACAAAAUUUAGGGAUCCAAAUGAAAUUGUCCCAUCAUCUUCAACCUCGGGCUGUUGCUACAGUAUUGUACAGUACAUUUACAGCAUCCACAUCCAUACCAACCCGAUUUUGGCCACCAAAAAACACGAAAAAAUUAUAUCUUUGCUCCAAAAUCAUCACUCAUGCAUUAUUUAACAACCGUUUGAGGAAAUAUGUCCAAAUUCGAAGAAUUCGAAAAAUCCGAAAAUAAUAAAAAAAAUUCCAUGAGUGAGAUUUCUUCAACAAAACAACUAUGGUUUACAAGGAAACGCAUAACCAUGGGCUCUGAUACCAAUUGAUGAAACAAAAACACACUUUAUGCCCUUUAAUCGUGCAUUUCCAAAUUAAACGCAUAUUUUAGUAAAUUUCGAAAUUUACCACGAUCUCCCAUGAAUCCGAGCUUGCAGCUUGUUAUGGAGCUUCAACAGAGUUGCUGCUGCUUCGGUUUAGCUUCUGAAUUCCGCUUUCUUUUCCUUAGCUCAAGGAUCGGCUUGCUUCAAAAUUUACUGUGCACACACACGGGAGACAAACGGGAGAGAGAGAUGCACUGCACUCAUGCCACAGAUUUUUGAACAGUUAACUUCCAAUGGGCUGAAGUUACUUAAAUACAGUGGUUGAGCGCAGGGACCCCUCAUGUGUUAAUACAAAAUUGUCCAUCCCAUUGUGGGCGAAAAUAACACAAUUAAGGAUAUACUUGUCUAUAAUAUACUACUGUACAAGGUAUGUCAAAAUUGCUCCAUAAUAUUUGACAAUAAUCACGUAUUAAUUCGGUAAAAUAUAAAAAACAAUUAGAAUGAUUUAUGUCAGUCCACAUAAUAUGAGAAAUAAAUCUAACACGUUGAUCAUGUAAAGACGUCGUUGAACAGUCGAAAGACCGAAGAGGAGAAUCCUUAGAAUAAAGAGAACGCUUUGAUAGGAGGAUUUUGGGAGGACUGUUUCUGGCGGUACGUUUGUACUGCAGUAAGGCGAAUCCGGGAUCGGAAAUCAGAGAGAGCCACUGCUUGCACGCACACUUGAAACGCAGCAGAGACUUGACGGGCAAUCUUGAAAGCACCUCAAUCAAGACGUCGUCAGGGAGAUUUGACAUUGUUUUGCUAGAGAGCGUUGUAUGGCAGAUUGGACCUUGGCGGCUCUCUAUAGCUCUUCUCUAAAUAUGGGGCGGUGACUCUGUUAGGGCAAGUCAUCAUUACUGAUGAAAGAUAAAUGUGAUUUUAACCAAUAAAUUAAUUAGUUUUAAUUUGUAGGCAUCCUAAAUAAUUAAUUUGUACGUGAAAAAGACAAUCAGAACCACCAAGCAAAUAACUAACAAAUUAAUUAAUUUCAAUUAACUACAUUGAGGUGAGGGAAACCCAAAUGAUCGGUAAACAACUUGCCUUGAAUGCUAUGGGGAGGGAACAAUUGAAGUGAGAAGAAGACAAUCCCACAAUUUUUAAUCCCAAAUUUGUUAAGCGACUCAGUACAUAUACACAAGAGAUUAUAUAUGGACAAUGGAGCCAAAGAUUGUCAAUUGGCCAUGGCGGUUGGAGAUGAGAGCAAAGCAAGCAAAUGAUGGCUGCCAAUGAGACACUCCCCAACCGAAUAAACCUCCGGUCACGAUUGAAAGCCUGAUAAACAACAAGGGUAAUGGCCGUAAUCUCAACAAAAGGAAGAAGUUCGAAGAAGACUUGCGACCAAGAUGAGCUGCAAAGGCCAAUCACCACGGCAGUCUCUAAAAACACCUCCUCAAGCUGCUAAAGCCGGAUUUUAAACCUUAAACAUAUUGUUUUUAGAACUGUUAGUAUUAUUGCACGAAAUUGUCUCUAAAAAAAAAUCAUUAAACAACUUGUGCACAAACUUGACUCAAAAUUUUCUUCACUGUCAUGCUUUUUUGUGGAGUUAUCAACACUUCCUAUACUCUUUAAUUCAUACCUCACUAUUUCAUAUAUACCAAUCAAACCAGGCAAAUCGUGGAUUCAAAAACAUGACAACUUAAGAAGGGGGUGGGGGAGAGAAAAACAAAAGGGUCUUCUUGAGCAUAAAGAUUCCAGAACACCCAAAAAUAGUACACCACGGGAGCCUGAUAGAAAAUAUCUAAAUUUAUAUCAUUGAAAACUCAUAUAUGGUCGUGGGGCGAGAUAAGACUUCCCAUGUUUGCAACUGCUUCAGCAUCAGAACCAAUCAUCAAAUGUUCAAGUUCCGUUUCUUUAUUAGGAUCCUCGUUAAUUUAUCCCACCAAAUAUUGCAUGUCAGUACUAAAACUUCAUCUUUGAGACCGCAUUCUAUACAACAUUGUGGCACCUUGAAUCCAGCUUACCGAAUCUCUUUAGUGUAUCCAAGUUGAUCAGAGUUUUUGCCAAAAAGACUUCACUCCAUAUUCUUUCAUCAUCAAUAAUAGCUCAACAGCACCACUUUGUGGAGCCCGUCAAACAACUCCUAAUCCCAUUACAUAAUCUUCAAAAAAAAAAAAAAAUUUUAAAAAAGGCAUCAGCACUUCAAUUUCUCCUCAGCUAAGUCAAAAGUAGUAGUCACACUGAACCUAUUAUGGUCAUUAGAUCCCAGUUAUCCGGUGGAGACUUUCAUUCACUAGGUUUUAUUUCUUCAUUAGCAUCCGAUCCUGACACUGUUGCAGCGGUGCAAUAUUGUUGAUGGGAUGACCAUAGUAACAAGAAGCUAGCUAGACUCUUAAGCUGUACUUUGAUGCACAAUAAACAAAAAUAAACGUCAUGAAAAUUGUAAAAAGUCACAAAACAAAAACGUUUAUGGUCUUAUAUAUAAUAGACAGGGAUAUAAACAUGGGGCGAGAUCAGACUUUCUAUACAACGUUUAUCGUAUAUCAGUACUAUAAUCUUCGAGACUGCAUUCUAUACAACGUUGUGGCGCUGUGAAUCCAGCAUGCUGAAACUAUUUUGCGUGUCCCAGGUGAUAGAGGUUUGGCCAAGAAGACUUCACUUCGUGUUCUUUCAUCAUCAACAACUCAACAGCCCCACUUUGUAAUCCUAUUGUGACCAAACAGAGGCGCCCGUCAAACAACUCCUCCUAAUCCUAUAACAUAAUCAUCAUCAACAAGAUCAGGUUUUGGCACCUCACUGAAUUUCUCCUCAGCUAAAUCAAAAGCACUAGUCACGCUGAACCUCUUAUGGUCGUUAAGAUCCCAGUUUGUUACCCAGCGGAGACUUUCAAUCACUAGGCUUUAUUUAGUUAUUACUCGUGUAUAUGGUUGCAAUUUAUUUCUAAGGUUUGGAGGAUCCAAUGACUUGUGGUGUUCGAAGCUAUUUCUUAAUUACUUUUCUGUGUUAGUUGCUAAUCAAUCUAAACUCAUGUUUUGACUCCUAAAUCUUAGCUUUAUCUAUCAUUAAUCGAUACUUUACUUUUUUAACAAGAAUAUAUUUGUCAAAUUUUUUCCUGUAAUUCACUUGUCAUACUUCAUAAUUUCUUUGUUCAAGCAAUGAUCUUUUUAUUUUUCACCAUAUAUAUUUUAGCAUUCGUCAAUAUUGAUAGUUUAGAGAGUAAAUGGCUUAUUCCCAAGAAGAGAAAAAGAUUUGGCAACACUAGUUUUGAUCAGUACAUGCCUCGAUCGAGUUAUCACUUGGAACGUGAAAAUGUCGCCUUUUCCCUUCAAGAGUAUGCUUUUUCUAUAACUAUUUAACACCAAAACUGAAAUGAGGUAUCAAAAAUGUAUUAAUGACCCUAGUUGUUUUAAAAAAAGAAAAAGAAAAAAAGAAAAGAAAUCAUUCAACAUUUUUCAAACUUGAAAAAAGGGACUCAAUUCGUGACAAUUCAUAAAGCUAAUCUACGAUAUCCAUAUUUAGGUAUGUAAAAUUAAUUAUUCACAUAUUUCAUCUUAUGAAUUUUUAAAGCUGAUAAUAUAUUCCUUAAGAUCAGAGAUGCACUGUAUGGCAGAGUUAAAGGGGAAAUUUGGAAGAAAUUGCGGAUGUCAAUAGAUGCCUACUUAUUCUAAAACAAGCAGUAUUGACACCCACAGCAUAAUUCCUGAUAAAUACUUUUGGGAGGCUCCAAUCAAUAGUUCCUAAUCCAAUUGCAUCUGCUGUCAUUGAUUGAGGGUGCGUUUGGGAUUGGGAUUGAGCAAUUGUAGUUAUAACACUAAAGUAUUUGGUAAACACUAACUGUUGUAGCUUGGAAGCUAUAUUAAUAUGAUUUUUCACUUGUAUAAUAGAAAAUUUAUUAUAUCUUUAAUAAUUUUGACAAAAUUAUUAUUUAAAAUUUAUAUUUACUACAUAUUAUUAAUUUUUGUUUUAUAGUCACAAUUUUUUUUUUUACAACAACUGUAGUUACAGUACCUCAAUCUCAAACGUACCAAACGUACCAUAAGGCAACGAUCCUUUCAGCUAUAUAUAUAUAUAGAUAGAUAUGUUGAUGCUUAUUCUCUUAUGUAACCAGAGGCGCAUCUUGAGAAGACAGUGAUAUAUAUUGGGCAGGGCUGCCGUUUAAUUUUGGAUAGCGAAGCCACCUGCAAGUAGCAUCCUGACACUGUUGCAGUGGUGCAAUAUUGUCGAUGGGAUGACCAAAGUAACGAGAUGCUAGCUAGACUCUAAGCUGUACUUUAGUGCACAAUAAACAAAAAUAAACGUCAUAAAAAUUGUAAAAAGUCGCAAAACAAAAACGUUUAUGGGGUCUUAUAUAUAUAUAGAUAUUACAUAGGGAUACAAACAUGGGGCGAGAUCAGACUUUCUACAUAUGCAACUGCCUCAACUGUACCAACAAAAUCCCCCAAAUUUUCAAUUACUUUCGUUUCUUUAUUAAGAUAAUACCUUACGAAAUUAUCCCCAUAAACUUGUGUCAGUAUUAUAACUUCAUCUUCAUCGCAUCCAGCACGACACUGUGGCACUAUGUCUCCACAUAACUCAUUAGAAUUACCAAUAUGAUACAGUUUUUCCCAAGAAGACUUCACUCCAUAUUCCUUCAUCAUCCAUAACCCAACACUAAGAUCACCACCCUGCCCUUGUGUCCCAUUGAGAUCGCUGAUCCAUCUGACUAAACAGAGGUGCCCAUCGACAACUCCCAAUCCUGAAACAACACACAUCUUCCCUCUAACAUCAUGAACCAAAUCAGGCGUUGGCACCUCUCUGAAUUUCUCCUCAGCCAAAUCGAAAGCAGUAAUCACACUACCGAAAUCUUCAGCACUGCCCCAAUUUGUUAACCAGUGGAGAGUUUCAUUCAGCAGGGACCCUAUUGAUCGAUACUUGCAAAUGUGAUCUUCACUGUACUGCCUGAACUUGUGUUUAACUCUUCUCCAGGAAUUGUUUUUUGAUGAGAAAACAUAGGCUUGCUCGUCAAUGGAGCUGCUGCUAUAACUAUCUAUAUCGGGAACGUAGAAAAUAACCUUGUAAUCAUUAGUGGACGAAUCAUAACCAAAACCACGAUAGGAAUUGUCGCGAUCAUAUUCCAAUUUAAAAUCUAAUGGAAUGUUAUGAUUUGGUAGCUUUUUUCGGUGUAUUAAAUUAUCUGGUAUCCGAAGACCACAUUGGGCCUCGACUAAUCCAGAUUCGAGCCGAGUAGGACCACUAGGGCGGUAAAACUCUCUCAACAAAUAUUUAACGCAGCUGCUUAUGAUCUGGUAGCUUUAUGUAAGCCCCGGUGGAUGGAUUCCAAAUAAAAAUAUCGGCACAGCGCUUGCCGAGAGCUAAGCAAAUCAAGCCGUUGCAUGAUCCUACGAGCUUUGACGUAUCUUGUGUCGCGAACGGAAAAUUUAGCCGUCUCAACGCGCGUGGAUCAUCUAGAGAUUUUGUUGAACAGUCAAGCGACCGAAGAGUGGAAUACGGAGAAAUAUAAUAAUUUGAUGUAAGGAUUUUGAGAGGGCUUUUUUUGGCGCUAUGUUUAUAUUGCAGUACAGCAAAUUUGGGAUCGAAAAUCAGAGAGAGCCAUUGCUUGCAUACGGACUUGAAAUGCAGCAGAGACUUGACGGGCAACCUUGAGAGUACCUCAACUGCAAUGUCGUAAGGAAUAUCUGACAUUGUUUUGCUGAUGGGCGUGCUGUGUCUAAUCUUGCAUAUAGCAGCUUGGUGGCGGCUCUAUAACUCUUAUUUCUUAUACAGGUGCUAACCUGGCAAAGCAAAUUCUAGUACCAUCAGGAUUCGAAUUCCUGAAACGUUUUCCUAACCCCUUAAGGUUAAAUUGUAUUUUUGUUCAAAAUAUUAUUAUAAUUCUUAUUAAUUUUUAGAUACUGAAAAAAAUUCAUUCAUUUAUUAAAUACAUAUAUUUCUCGACUCCUAUCCUAUCUAUCUAUAUAUCUAUAUAUCUAUCUAUAUAUAUAUAUAAAGUUGAGACUUGAGGAGGUGAUGUGGCAUCAUCAUUUCUCUUCUUUGUAUAUUCUCUAUUAUCUAAUAAAUAGAGAAAUUUUCUUUUAGAUUUGACUUUUAGAUUAUACAAUAACAAUUAUGUAAAAAAUUUAAUGAGGCAUAUUCCUUGUAAUGAAUAUCCAAGGGGAAGUGUUAUGAAUUUAUUAAAAUAAAUGUAAAUGUUCAUAAUAUAUAUCUCUUAGUCUCCCCACUAUCUCUCAUUAGCAACUUUUAGCUUCCCUAUAACUCCCACUAUCUCACAAGGAAUUAUGAUCCAUAAUUUUUCAUUAAUUUCAUGGAGUGAUUAUGUAACUAUAAAAGGAGAACUCAUCUUUUUGUUUUGUACACACACAAUUGGAAUGAAUAAAAUCACUCUAUAAUAAAUUAUCUCAUUUUAUUCUUUAUCUUAAGUUGCUUCUUUAUUUGUAUUGCUGGCUAAUAGCUUUUUUUUUUAUUUUUUAUAAGGUUGCCUCAUCUUAAAAAAAAUCAAUUCAUAUUUUUUAUCAGUUUCAUCAAGUGUAAAGUAACAAAAAAAGGAUAAUACUAAAUUCUUUUUUUCAAAGCCGCAUGAAACGUGGGUUUAUUUUCUAGUUUUAUUAUAGAUAAACUUCAAUAAUUUAACCACCACUCAUUUAGCUUUAUUUACCCCGUCUGUCUCUUUUUACAUAAAAUAGAUAGAGAACGGCAAUUCACGAGUGAGGCAGGUCUAUGCUUAGAUUUUCCCAAAUUGACAAACAUUUAGUUAGGGAUUGUUUCCUGAAAGUCUUUUGUCAUUCCUCAUUUCUUGUUCUUUGUUGAGUAGAAGAGGUGUUUGCGAAAAUGAACUACGCGCUCGAUGAAAUGCCCCAACGAACUCUGCAUUGCGGCCUUGGUACUUUGGGAGUAUGAAAGAUAACGGACGCCUGGCAGUUGUUGUGUAAGUAAAUAAUACAUCAACCGUAUUUACAAGGGCCUUUCAUUGACUUAUGGUACAAAUUAUGACUUUACGUAUUACUGCCUCAAAAUCAGUACCAAAUGUCAAUCAUCAAAUGUUCAAGUUUUGUUUCUUACCUAGUCAAUUUAUCCCCCUCAAUUUUGAGUUGAUUGCAAGUUGCCUCCUUUUAAUGGGCAUUGAUCGUCUAAAGAUGUUGAACAAUCAAAAGACCGAAGAAGAGAAGGCUUGGAAGGAGAACUCUUUGAUAUAAGGAAUUCGUAAGGGCCGCUUUUUGGCGAUAAUUGAGAAGAAACGACUACUAUUUGAAAAAGGUAAGGAGGAAAAGAGAAUGGGAGGAAGCUAGCUGACUAGCCGCUGGAGGAAAAAACCAUGAGUUUAACAGCAGGUUGCCUUUUUAAAUGAAAGUAAUUUGUCAAACUCUCAAAAUUCUCUUCCCUUAUUAGGCGGCUGAAUUAGUAAAAAUGGAAUCAGCCGCGUGACGGUCGUAUGAGUGCAGUUUAAUUUGCAUUUAUGCAUCCUUAGGCGUUUGUCAUGUAUGGUCCACCUAUCUUUUCAUUGUUGAGCAAUGAUAGAAAUAAUACGUUUUACGACAAAACGAACUCAUACAUGGCCUCAGCUAGUAGCUAUUAAUAAGGUAAGGUAGAAAACCGGGUGAGAUCAUAAGUUGGUAUCUUUAUCAGUAUCAAUGAUCAAUUGUUAAAGUUUCGUUUCUUUACUAAGACCAAACCUUGUCGUCAAAGUCCCCGCCCCGUUGUUUGUCAAUACUAUUACUUCAUCUUCACCGCAUAAUGUAUUGGCAAGGUCACAAUCCUAGAAUGUUAACCACUGGAGGCUUUCAUACACUAGGGUAACUAUUACUUCAUACCGCCGUCGAUUUCACAACAUUUUCUAUUGUUGUUUGUUUCACCUCUAAACUCUUUUUCAAGAAUUGGGUUUUGCUGCGAAAAUGGAAAUGUUAGUUUCUUUGUAAACCCGAGGAGAUAUAAGGACCUUGUAAUCAACAGUAGAUGAAUCGAUCAUAACCAAAAUUUUAUUCUCAUCAAGUGACAUUUUAAAGUCUGAUGGGAUGAUUUCUGUAAGCUCCGGUUGAUGGAUUCCAAAUAAGAAUCUCUUCAAAGUCGCCUACGAUACGGACCACACAAACCGCUCUCUUUAACGGAAAAUUCAGUCUUCUCAUCACACAUUGAUCAUCUAAAGAAGAUGUUGUUAAACAGUCGAAAGAUUGUAGAGUGAGAGAUGUCGAUGAAUAUUUGAAAGUAUUAGAGAAUACAAAGGUCGGAUGGAGGACAGCCUACAUUGAUUUCGUGACAGUUUGACGUAAGUAUUUUUUGAGGCCAUUUUUGGCGGUUUGAUUUUAUUCCAUUGCAGCAAAUUUGGGAUCAGAAAUCCGAGAGAGCCAUGUCCUGCGUACACCCUUGAAACACAGAAGAGACUUGAUGGGCAUCAAGAUUGUUGUUUGCUAUAUGAACUAGAAACAACAUUUUUAAAAAAAUCUACAUGUAAAUUGUUUGAAUGAACAACAAACUAGACUAUAUAUAUAUGUAGAGAGAGAGAGAGAGAGAGAGUAAAAUUGCGACAAAACAACCUCAAAUGUAUAUUUAGAUGAUGCUAAAUAUGAAUAGAAACAUGGGGUGACAUCAGACUUUCUACAUAUGCAAUUGCUUCCAUUCUCUCAAAACUUUGCAUGGCUUCUGCGUUAGAGGUAAUCAUCAAAUGUUCAAGUUUGGUUUCUUUAUCAGAAUUAUACCUUAGCAAUUUGUUCCCAUUUUUUGUCAUUAUAAUUCCGCCGAUCCUUGUACAACAUAGCGGCUUCAUCCCCACGGUAUCACAGCAAAGGUCAUUACAAUUUCCGAUAUCAUAUAAUUUUUCCCAAGAAGACUUCACUCUAUAUUCCUUCAUCAUCCAUAACUCAACGGUACCACCACGUCCCUCUGUGACUAAACAGAGGUGCCCAUCAAUUACUCCCAACGUCAAAAAAAUAAAAACGUUACCGUUAAGUUCAUCAAAACCGUGAGGCAUUGGCACCUCGCUGAAUUUUUCUUCUACUAAAUCAAAUGCAGUAAUCACAGUAAAUUCACCACGGCUACAAUGCCAUUUUGUUACCCAGUGGAGACGUCCGUUCAUCAGAGAUCCUGUUAAACUCUGCUGCCAGUACAAAGUUUCACAACAUUGAAUACCAUUACUGCUUUGCAUUGAGUUGAAUCCUUUUCCAGGAUUCGGCUUUUGUUGCAAAAACUUUAAAUUGGGUCUCAUUGAAGCUAUGAUCAAUACUUCGUUUAGCGAACAAAACUUUGUAAUCAUUAGUCGAUGAAUCGUAACCAAAACCAUAUUGGUAUCUAGUAUCACCAGAUGAAAUGUCAAGAUUUGGUAACUUUCUGUAAUCUCCUGUCGAUGGAUUCCAUAUAACAAUAUCCUCACAGUUAUCAAAGGCUAUGCAAACCAAGCCGUGACAUGAGCCUAUAACAUGUGCAUUAGUACUAUAUGGUUUCCUGAAGGGAAAAUCCAAUGGUGUCGAUGCAUUUUGAUCAUCGAAGUUGCUGCCGACGAGUCUAAGGAUUGAAGAUGAGAAGGAUUGAUUAUAAGGAUUUUUUUAGGGCGGUUUUUUGUAUGCAUUAUAUUGCAAUGUAGCAAAGUCGGGACUGGAAAUCAAAGACAGCCAUGGCUUGGAUGCUAACUGGACACGCAAAAGAGACUUGACGGGCAAUCUUGAAAUUAUGUCAAUUACGACGUCGUCGGGAAGAAUAUCGGACAUUGUUUGCAAAUAAGCUCAUACGUUGUAUCUACUCUUUUUUAACAUGGCUGCUUGGGUUUGUAAAUUACAAGUCCUUUUUUUUUUUAAAUAAGGUGGCAAAGGGAAAUUAUAGUAAUAUUUAGGGAUCUUAAUUAGAGUUAAUAAUUUUCUUUUAAGGUGGCUUUAAUGAUUUUAUUUGAUUAAUGACAUGCUGCCUUAACUAAUAAUAUCAUUAGAAAAGUCCCAAUAGUGGUCCUAUUUGUAAAUGAUUAAGCUAAUUCAUUUUUGAAACGUAAGUACCAAAAAUGUGGUGGAUUUACAACUAGAAUAAUGAUGCAAGAGCUAAUUUUGAUCAAUCUACUUUAAUUCAAAAAAAAAUUCGGGAUAGGUUCUUAUUAGCCGUUGGAUCUCACCCUCUCAUGCUUCAGGUUAAAGCAAGGCCAAAAGCUCUAUCUCGAAAAGAAGUGUACUCCAAGACAUGAUACGUUAGCUUAGGCCAGUAGCCGCAUUGAGAAUUUAAAGGACCCACUCUGAGAUCUACCAAUAGGAUUCUUGUUCACAUGGCCCACUAUGAUCACUACAACACACCCUUUAAAAUAUAUAUAUAUAUAUAAUAUAAUAUUUUCUUGUAAUAAUAUUUAUUGAUUUUUUUUCCUUGCAAUUGUCUACUUCUUUUAAAAUAUUAGACCAUGGUAUCUUUUUAUAAUUUAUUAAUGUAUCAUAACUAAAAAGAUUUAUGCUACACAUUUUAAAUUUUUUUAAAAAAAAAAUUAUUUUAAAUAAUACAACAUUUAUCAAUUAUUUAAUGAAUUUAUAAAAAAAUUAUCAAAGUUUAUUAAAUAACACAUUAUUUGAGAUGAAAUUUAAGACAAUAAAUUUGAGAUAUGUGUCAUAACUUUAACUAAAUAAUAAUACCAUUUAAUAUUUUAAAAAUAAGUGAGAUUUCACUUAAUGUUUUAUUAAACAAAUUUAUUUAAUUUAAUGGUAUAAGUUUAAAAUGAAAAAAUAAUAUUUAAAUCAUUAUCCAUCAAUCAUUAGAUUGCACGAUCUUAAGUUAGAAAAUCAAAGUCAGGAAACCAUCCUUUAAAAAUAAAGUUGAACGUUUUUCUUUAUAUAUAUAUAUUUAUCUUUCUUUUGCCGCUGCCGAGGCUCUAAGGAAAAGUUUGGAGCGAAGGAAAAUGAUAAAUGCACGAGUUAAAAGGGCAGUCAUGUCAAGGAAUUUUUUAUUCGAAAAUACAAUAAAAAAUGUUUAUUAUAAAAUUCACAUCCUCAAUAUUAUUUUUUUAUGAGAGUCAAUUUACCAUUACGCCAUGAGUAAUAAAUAUAUGCCAAAUAUUGUUUAAAAAAUGCAGGCCAAGUACUAAAUAUUGUCAGUUUCUCCAAGUUGAGAAUUUGAGACCCUUUCGGGUAUAUUCACAUCUUACGUAUAUAAAUAACAUCUCAGAUUUGAUUUGUAUGCCACAAAUGUCUGGCAUGCAAGCAUUUAAUAAGACUAUGGCCAUUAAAAAAAAAGGCAUUUUCUUUUUAAUUUCUUGCUUCAUACGCAUUUCAGUGUGGAAAUUCGGUAACCAAUUGAGUGUUGGUUUAAACAACAUAUAAUUGAAGAAACAUUCGCUGCCUAAAAAACCUUUUUGUAUGUAUUAUUGGAGAGCCAUUUUUCUUUUUUAAUUGAAAUGCUUAAAUGUAGAUCAAGCAUAUUUUGAAUUUAGUCAUUCAAGCUUCAUUUGAGCUGCCGCAGUGAAGUUAUUUUAAGAGGUUUCAACAAAGAAUAAAAAUUCAUUUAAUAUUUGAAUUAUGCUUGAAUUAAAUCAACUUUAAAUAAUAAUAAUAAUAAUAAUAAUAAUAAAUUAUUAAAUGCCAACAAGGUGAACAUUUGUUGUGAAAUGAUUUUCACAAAGUCGUACGUAAAAAUGCCCGUGUCGUUGAAUGUUGACGUGUCCUUCCUUAUUUACUACAAAGAAAAAGAAAUCUCCAAUGAAGAAGUUUCUUAGCAGCCAAACACAACCUCAAGCGAGGGCAGGGCAUCCACGUAACUACGACAUCUGAAAAUUAAACAAUCAACGCAAAGUCGAGGGUCCAGCGGUCAUUUCACAAUUAAAAAAAUAGCCGUUCAAUAAUUUUGAAAUAUUAGCUAAAUUGAAAAAAUGAGCUAUAUGAUCCUUAUAUCUCAGUUACAUUAUAAUUACAGAGCUUCUCUUUCGCGUGGAGCCAACCUCUGCCAUCAUCAUCAUCCAUUUGUUCACUCAAUUUCUGAACCCAAAAAGAAAAAAAAAAUUGAAAAUUAGGGUUUUGCUUUCGCUUUUAAUCUGCCUUUCAGAUCUGAUUGUAACUUUCAUUUACUCUCAUUUCAAUCUCAGAUCCGAAUUAACAAUUCAAUUCGGUACCUCUUAUUUCCAUUGCAAUAUAAAAGAUUUUAUUUUUAUUUUUGCUUGAAAUGUGGAAAUAAGAUUCUUGACAAAUUUGGUUUUUUUAUUUUUUAUUCCCCUUUGGUGUAUGUAAAAUUUUAGGCAAUCCUUUCAUGUUCUUCUCUGAAUUUGGGUUUUCUCCACCUUGUAAGUGAUCGUAAUUUAGUUAUUAAUUGUUUUAGUAUUGAAUUGCUUGUUCUUGAUUUUAUUUAUUUAUUUUUGUUUUAUAAUUUUGAUUUUUUUGGUGUGUGUGGAUGAAGCUUUGUCAUUUUAAACAGAUCUUAAAAGUUGGCUCCGCAAAGACGGUCGCAGCGCCACAUGGGUGGCCAGAUGCAGCAGAGCAAUGCUGCUGCGGCGGCGGCUGCGCUGUAUGAUCACCCCGGUGGGUCCAUGCAUAACAAUGCGGGUCCCACAACUGACGCCGGUGAUGCUGUCAUGGCGCGGUGGCUCCAGUCUGCUGGACUGCAGCAUCUGGCCUCUCCCUUGGCUUCUAACGGCAUUGAUCAUCGCCUCCUCCCCAAUCUUCUCAUGCAGGUACCAUAUUUCUUUAUAUAUCAUAUACAAUUCGAUAUAAAUGGAAGGUUACAUUUUGAUGGGAAUUGAAUUUUGUUUUUAUUCUAUGAAUUUUAGAUGAAGCUCAAAUUAUUUGUUUUUUAAGUUUUGGAUAGCUAUGAGUUUCCCAAAAAAAAAAAAAUCCACCUAGGGAUUAUAAUUUUUUUGAACCCAAAAUGAAUUUGGGGUAGUAAAAUGCUAUGAAUGUUCAUAGUUUUUGGCAUUUGGUUUCUGUAUGUGCAUUUGGGUUUCUAUCUUAUGAAAUAACAAGGUCCUCUCUGGUAUUGUUAAAGGGUUAUGGGGCACAAUCUGCAGAAGAGAAGCAGAGGCUUUUCAAAUUAAUGAGAAACCUCAACUUCAAUGGUGAAUCUGGGGCUGAGCCACACACACCAACUGCCCAAACAUCAGGGGUGGUUGCAUCAGAUGGGCUUUAUUCUCCAGAGUUUAGAGGGGAUUUUGGAGCUGGCCUUUUGGAUCUUCAUGCUAUGGAUGAUACUGAGCUUUUAUCUGAGGUAUGGUUCCUUAUAGGUAACUGCAUCUAUGCUGUAGGAGACAAUCUUUGGUGCAAAAAGUGCUGAAGUAUUGAGUUUUCUGUUGUCUUACUUCCAAGGGUUUAAGGAUUAACCGGGAUUACACUUGUUUGGCUCAGUCAUAUUUGCUUAUCUUUUUUCCUUCUUUUUCAUUUGAUGUGAUCAAUUGAUUCUUUUCCCUAUCGCAGCACAUGAUUUCAGAACCAUUUGAGCCAUCGCCUUACAUUCCUAGUAUUUCCAAAGGGUUUGAAAAUGAUUUCAACUUGACAGCAGGCUGGCAGCAAAAAGAGCAAACUGAUGCAGAUGCCUCAGCUCCAGUUCCCACAAAUGAAAAAGAGAGCAAUGCCAGAGAAAAUAAUGUGGCUAAAAUUAGAGUUGUGGUAUGUGGCUCUGGUGGUAGUAUGCACAUGCUUAUACAUGUGUAUAUUCAUAUGUUGUAUACUCAUUCUUUCAUGUCUUAGGUACGUAAAAGACCCUUAAACAAGAAGGAGCUCUCUAGGAAGGAGGAGGAUAUUGUAACUGUGAGUGACAAUGCUUUGACUGUCCAUGAACCCAAGCUAAAGGUGUGUUCUGUGGCUAUGGAAAAUUUUUUGAUUUACUUAAAAAUGCUUCCAGAUGAAUCGAUGGGAAAUUUAUCGAUGCUUGUCUGGUGUUGGCUUUUCUAUUUUUUUUUUCAUUUUUUCCCCUUUCUCUGUGCAGUGGAAGGACUAACUUUUCUUUUAAUAUGAUAGGUGGACUUGACUGCAUAUGUGGAGAAGCAUGAGUUCUGCUUUGAUGCUGUUUUGGAUGAACGUGUCACCAAUGAUGAGGUAAAAAGUUUUGUUCUUCUUUCUUCUUCCUUGCCUCCCCACUACCCCUUUUUAAAAAUUAGAGUUGAAAUUUGUGGGACUGCUGCUUUGGCAUAAUUAGAACUCUGAGAACCUGUAAAUUAUGUUCUAAUCUUCCUUUGCCGCUGACGUAUUGUUUGUAAAUUCUGUUCUCAGCUGCUUACUGUCUUGUGAAAUGUGCAAGUAUAGACAUAUUGAAGCUCUUGUCUUUUACUUCUAACUUGUUCGAUUCAAGUCAUGAUUACUUCACAUUCUUUCUUAACUAGGUAUAUCGUGUCACUGUGGAGCCAAUUAUUCCCACCAUUUUUCAGCGAACAAAAGCAACGUGUUUUGCAUAUGGGCAAACAGGUAAGAGAGUCUGAUAUUCUCUUACCAAAUGGCAUAGUAAUGUUAACACUUAUCUUGGGAGGUGUCUUUUGCCAAAGUCAAUCAGUUUCAAAUUGAUUCACCAUGUGGAAGACAUGGUGCUGUCAUCAUAUUUUUUUAUGUCCUAUGCUGUUUCUCCUUUUUAUCUCUUGCUUAUAUGCGAUGCUGCUGGCUGUUCCUGAUGCUUGGCACGUAUUUAACUGCAAUUGAAUAGCUGAAAUAAUGAAAUACUAAUAAAUUAUAAUUUCAGGGAGUGGUAAGACAUUCACUAUGCAACCAUUACCUCUUAGAGCAGCAGAAGAUCUUGUUAGAUUGUUGCACCAGCCUGUAUAUCAUAAUCAGCGAUUCAAAUUGUGGCUUAGCUAUUUUGAGAUAUACGGUGGAAAACUUUUUGAUCUUCUCGGUGAAAGAAAGUAAGGAUCUCUUUACUUUCUUCCUCUCCCUCCAUCUCCUUAAUUCUUUAUAUGCGCCUGGAGAAUUUGGAUGCUUUGCAUGUUAUAGACACUGAUGAUAAUAAUAACUCUUUAUAUGUAUUUCAGUUGAAUAUGAAAUGUCUGUUGGAUCUGACUAGCUGCAUAACUUAUUAUUAUGAUAUUGAGGAUCUUGCUACUGUUCAUGAAACUUGGGUAUCUUAGUGUUGUUUAUUUGUAUGUAUAGCUUAGAAUACAUAUCAAUAUGCUAUGUUUGGAUGUUGAUGGGUGCACAAUUGGGCACAUUUAAAAAGUGGCUUGCUUUAUUCUUCUCAAAUAGGAAACUUUGCAUGAGAGAAGAUGGGCGACAACAAGUUUGCAUUGUUGGGCUGCAAGAAUUUGAAGUUUCAGAUGUGCAAAUUGUAAAGGAAUAUAUUGAAAAGGGAAAUGCUGCAAGAAGUACAGGAUCUACCGGUGCCAAUGAGGAAUCUUCUAGGUCACAUGCUAUUUUGCAACUUGCUAUUAAGAAGCACAUUGAAGUAAAAGAAUCCUUCAGGCGGAACAAUGAUGGAAAUGAGUCUAGAGGGAAGGUUAUUGGAAAGAUUUCUUUCAUUGAUCUGGCUGGGAGUGAAAGAGGUGCCGACACCACUGAUAAUGACCGUCAAACCAGGUGCGUUUUCAUUCAUCAACUGUAUUUUGUUCCUCGGCUAUGGAAUUCUAGCUCAAAAGUGGAAAGAUGGUUUAUUUCUUAUGCUUGAUGCCAUACGCACUAAUGCUGACAACGUCAACUUCAUGUGUUCAUAGUUGGCACUCCCUUUGUUUACCCUGCACCGUAUUAUUUUUAAUUUAAAGUUGCUACAGACUGGUUUUACUUAAUAAUUUUUUUUUCUUUCUCUUCUUUCUCUCUCUCUCUCCCGCUCUCCCCCCAAUUGGGAGGAGGCAUGUUUGGGGACUAUUUGAUGCAUAUCAUGAUACUAGCUGUUUGGUUCAUUGCUAGGAUUGAAGGUGCAGAAAUCAAUAAGAGCCUCUUGGCUCUUAAGGAGUGUAUCCGUGCUCUGGACAAUGACCAGAUCCAUAUCCCAUUUCGUGGGAGCAAACUCACAGAAGUGCUCCGCGACUCUUUUGUUGGGAAUUCAAAGACUGUUAUGAUUUCCUGCAUAUCACCUAAUGUAGGAUCAUGUGAGCAUACACUCAAUACUUUGAGAUAUGCUGACAGGUAACGCUCAUACUUUGAGCUUCUGCAAACACAGUAUCUAGUAGCAAUGGUGAUUUUUCUUUGGAGAUAUGAUUAACAAAUUAUCAUAUCACUGUGCAGGGUUAAAAGUCUCUCAAAAAGUGGGAACACGAAAAAGGAUCAAGGUCAAAAUUCAUUGAUACCAAUUAAUAAAGACACUUCAUCUGCUUCUUCUAUCCCUGUUUCUGCUGAUGUGGAGGAUGUUUAUGAACCACAACAAGAUGUGAAAGUGGUGGAUACGGGUAGAAGAGUCACUGAAAAGGAAACUUUAUCUUACAUUCCUACUGUUGAUUAUGACAAACAGCAAUCAAGCUUUUCAUCUGGCUUCAGUGGAAGAGAGGAAAGUGGGGUGGCCUCUGGUUCAAUGGAUAGGGAGAGGUUUGAAAUUAAUAAUGCUUAUGGUGGUUCUACCAGUCAAAAGAUGCGCCCUUCAUAUUCUCAAAAUUCUCUUGAUACAGAAGAGAAAGUGCAAAAGGUAUCACCACCUCGUAGAAAAGGGUCUAGGGAUACUGAAAAAUCAGAAAAGUUGGGAAGCUGGCUGAAAAAAGACAGCAAUGGAUCAGAGCCAUCCACCACAAACUCCAGGCAACAGAGUACAAGCAAUUACAACAUAAAUAAUGUUGGAUCUAAACAACCUCAACCUCAACCUCCAUCAGAUGGGAAUAUCAAUGCUCUUCUUGAGGUCGGUGGCCAUCUACAUAACAAUGCUCAUGGCUUGUAAUUGUUCUGCUCUAUUGAGAGUUCUUUUUCUAGUGGAUUGACAACUUUCUAUGCUUUUUGACUGUUGUAGGAAGAAGAGGCCUUAAUUGCUGCUCAUAGGAAAGAAAUUGAGGAUACAAUGGAAAUUGUUCGUGAAGUAAGUGGAAUUUCCAUCUUUCCACAGAUUAGUAGUUGUGGUUGGCAUUUGAUGAAAUCAGCAUUAAUGUUGUACUUGUCUUGUUCUUGUAUUCUUCGAUAUAUGGAUUCCAGGAAAUGAAACUAUUGGCAGAAGUGGAGCAACCAGGCAGCCUCAUUGACAACUAUGUGACCCAAUUAAGUUUUGUGCUUUCACGCAAAGCAGCAAGUUUGGUCAGUCUUCAAGCUCGCCUUGCCAGGUUCCAGCACCGCCUGAAAGAACAAGAGAUACUUAGUCGCAAGAGAGUUCCUCGUUAGACAGCACUGUUUUUUUCGCAGCUUCACUGACUGCAUCCUGUCUUGUAAUUCUUCUUUCUUUUAUAUGCGGUUUUUGCUUUAUUUUCUGUUGCGAACUAUAGUUUACUUAAUCCUAAACAUUAGUUACUUAUAUAUAUCAGUUUGUGUUGGUCCUGGCAGUCAAAUCACGGAUCGCACUGUCUUGUGAGAGGAAUGGCCGAAUGAAAUUUAGUUUCAGGGCACUAAUGUUGCCUCUCAUGACCAGGCUGACUGAUACGACAGAAACUCUUGUUCAUUGCUUGGUGUUGGGCGGUUUGAGCUGUCAAGUCUAUUUUCAAAUGUGUUAUUGGUGAGGUUGUAACAUGGUUUUGUGGGAAAUGGUUUUGGAAGGUGGACGUAAGGAAAGGUGAAAAUGAAAUAGCUGUAUGAUUACAUUAAGUUGCAGUACUGUGAAAUUACCUUUUUGGUUUCUCAACUACAAUGCACAGUGAGCGUGCGUGUACUAAAAAUCCUCACAAUGUGAAUGAAAUUAUGUUUUUAGCUGUUGAUAAAUUCAAAAAACUCUGCCAUCAGCAAAAGUUUUAAAUGAUUUAAGCUAUUGUUAAUCAUUUAAGUAAAAUGAUUAAGAUGAUUAACUGAGACGUUGAGUGAUUGGUAUUUAAACUAGGUCUUGCCUUGAAUCACUAACUUUCCAGCAGCUUAUCAAAAAGUUUGCUUCCUGAUCAUCAAAAGGGCAGACACGUACAAGAUUUUGAGUUCGAAACCAUACAAAACACGCAACCACGAAUAUCCAUUUCAUUCUCCCAAAAGUGGAACGUACAUAUUGAAUUCCAAAGAAAAGGGGACCAUUAAACUAAGAUGAUAGCUAUAAACACAAAAAUCAAAAUUUUUUAAAACAAUAACUUCCAAAAUCCUUCUAACAACCCAUGCUUGGAUAUAGAAUUAUAGACAAUAUAUAUCAUCGGUCACUGCUACUGGCAUGUGUACCAUAUUCAUCUUACCAGGAUAAUCUUGACCAAUGGAAAACUAAAACUUGCUCUUGACCACCACUGCAAACCCUGACAAAUGCGCAUCUACCCUCCCAAAAUCAGCUAUUUGCUACAUAUGAAUACUAAUACGGCGCCACAAAAUGUUGCUAAUCAGCAGAUUAUUUCCUCUUAAGAAAUCUGCUAUCUUCUAAAUGGUAAGUGCUAAUAUGGUGUUAGAAACAUGCUAUUGAAUUGGCAGAUUCACAUUUUCAAUCAAUCAGCUCUCAUUCUCAGGAUCUCCUUUGCAGUCCUCACUCGAAAAUAGGGCAUAUGGCUCUACAAGAAAAAAUGAAGCAAAAGUUCAAUAGAUGAAACAUUGAAUAUAGGCAAUGCACGCAUGAGUAGGACAAAUAUUCAACCCCAUGACAUUUUACGCGGUGCAAUAAGAAAUGAAAAAUCAUCUCCAAAGUGUUCGAAAAAUCAUCUCCAAAGUGUUCAUUGAAGGAAGUGUUUCUAUUUCAGAAAAGCUCCAACAUUUAAUGCUUUCAGUAACAUAGGUCAAAGCCUACAACAUUGGAGACUUUAAAAUGUAAUUUGUAAUGUUUCAACGUAAAAACUAAUGAGAAAAAUAUUUAAAAAUAUACAUUGUGGAAGAAGACCAAGUUUCUAGUAACUUGUUACCUGGUCAAAACAAAGGCCUAGACCUCUGCUAUAGAAGUCAACAUAUUUGAGCAUAAACAUGCCACAGUCAAACCUGUUACAAUUAAGAAAAAUAAGACCAAAAUAAUUUCAAUUUAAAAGUAUCCAUAAUUAGACAGAAACAACAUAAAACCAGAGUUAUACAGAAAAUGAAAUCAAAUAGGGUAACUUUUUUGAAACAACUAAUGUAUACAACAAAAGAAGCUUCGCCUUGAAUAAAAUGGAAGUAUGAAACAUAAUAGAUAUCCAUUGUCCGAAACAGGUCAUACCAUUUAAACUUUACUUUUUACAUUCUCAAAAAUUGUUCAUAAAAUUGAAUAAAACAGAAUCAUUGCGGUGAAUAUAUUUUUCCUGCUUGACCCCUUGACCCAUCUGCAAGCAGUUGACUAGUAAUUAACAUUCAGAUAACCAUGAAAAAUGAUAAUACACACCCAUUUGCCUGUUCGGGAAGGUCUAAAACAAAUUCUUGUUCCCAAUCACUUACGUCGAUGUCUUUCCCACACUUGUCCCUUACUUCUUCAACGAAAUAUCUAGCCUGGAAAAACCAGAUCAAUAACAUUAGCCAAUCUUUCAUUAAUUAUCUCUAUAACGAGCAACAUGAAUUGCAAAUCUUAAAUUAAUGAAAACUGUUUGUCUUCACCAUCAAGUAAUAACUGUUGAAGUGAAAGCCGCAUUUGUAAAAAGAUGAUAACUAAGAGGUGCCCACCUUCCUUAAAGUGAAGUUCUAUUGUUUAAAGCACACUGUGCCAUACUCCUAUCAAGGAUUAUUAUUUAUUCUACUAUACUUCCACACACUUCAAUACUCGAAUACCUUUUACCAGGAUUACUUUACAUCUAAGUUUCCUAAGCCUCCAAAGUUAUUAACAAUUAAUAGGUUAUGUACAUUUUCACUGAUUAACAAGGCCUGAGGCACAGCUUUAAGAAGUUCAUAGCAAGUUAAGUUUGUAGACAAAGAAGAGAGGAGAACAACUUUCCUACAACAGCUUUACAUUCCUUUGAAUAAUAACUGCACGAGUAACUAAAUGAGUACAAGAAAAUAAUUACUAAAAAAAUACCAGGUCACCCAGCACUUUCUUAUCCCUUCCUUUGAGUGAAUCAAGAUACUGAAACUUCUUAUCUUUCCUAUCAAUCACUGCCAAGCACCAAUGUAUCUGCUUGUGGAUAGGGACAAAUAUCUGAGCCAAAAAAGAUGAAACAACUCAUAGAUCAGUAUAUUAAUCAAUCUGGCAAAUAAUAUGGUAAUAAAAGAAAAGGAUGGUUAAGAAAAACUUUACCUUGUCACACUCAAUGAGACCAUACCCUAAUUUUUUGGCAGAAGUCCAUCUUUUCACAGCUCUGAAAUCAUAGCCCUUGUUUCCGCAAGCUAACUGGACAUCAAGAUCAAAUUAACAAAAGGUAAAAUACACUAACACCAGAAAAUGUGAGAAUGAUUAAUGAAGGGAAAGAAAAACUGAAAGCAAGAGGCAGGGCAGAUAAGUAUAGUUAAUUAAAGUUGAGGAAAAAAUAAGCAAAUUUGUGAGUUCUAAAGCUAGAACAAUAAAACCUAAAAGCAGAUGUGGAAAAUGAUAAGUGAGCAGGCCAAUCAAAUUUGACAAAUUAAUAUGUAGAAUGAGUUAUAAAACAGAAAAUUUGAGGGAAAUAUAGAAAUUCACAGGCAUUAAGAUUAGCAACAAUCAUAGUUUGCUCAUUGGGAAACAAUUUUUUUUCCCCAAAAAAAAAAAAGAAAAAGAAAAGGGAAGAGCAGCAAAUGAUGUCUUAGACUGUUAAUACAAUUAAUAAUGUUCAAGUAUGCACAAUCUUUCAAUGCUAAAUCCUUUUUUUUUUCUUUUCACGAGAAUAAGCAACUCUCGCAAAAGUAGAUAAUAAUAAUGAUAUAUAUCAGCAAUAGGAUUAAGUUUAGCAAACUUAAAACAAAACAAAAAAAUUGAGAGAACAAGUAACCAACCUUAUUGUAGAAAAAUGUGUUAAAAAAGUGACAUUUCAAAAACUUCUGGGGCUCUCUCUUUUCCCUUUCUUUGAGCAACCCAAGGUAGACAUUUAUGACCUACAAAACAGAAGGCAUAUACAAAUGAGAAAUCAUUUUUCACACAAAGAUUAAACGGAUAUGGCCCUAAAAGGUAUACCUCAUCAUUCAACCAUGCCCCAGGUCUAAGGCACUGGAGAAUUUUUCCUGUAAUGUCAAUGCCAGUCUCGGUAUGAGAGACCAGAACCGCCCUCCUGGAAGAGUAAGCGUCAAAUGUUAAAAUACCAACAAUCACCAUUUAACUAACAAGUGAUAUAUCCAUCAAUCAUACCAAUUUGCAGAAAAUGCACGCUCAACCUCAGCCUCUUCCUCUUUUGUAAGAGGGAUAAAAGGUUCGCGAGGUAAUUCCUGAAAAUCAAUUAAUGACGGUUUCAAUAACAGAAAACAAGGGAGCACAUAGCAUUUCAGAAGAGACAGCUUCAACAUUAUUCCAAAGGGGUUAAAGUUCUUUGAAUAGAAAGAGCAAAAACCAACAAAUCAACUGGCAUAUCAGAUUUUAAACUACGUCAAGCCAAAAGAGCUCACCUCUACCUGUUCUUCCUCUGGUUUCUUUAAAGGCCAUAACUGCUUAAGUGAAGCCCAACGCUUCUCAUUUAACUCAAUCUCAAACUCUAUUUCUUUCAACUUAGAACCUCUCUUCUGCACACUCUGCAACAGCUUCUUAUACACAUCAACAGUCAUCUCACCAUUCAAUGACAACAAAUCAAUCAUCUUCGAAACAUCACCAUUAUUUGUAUCCGUAAUCACAGAAGACGAUGAAGGCUGCAAAUUGGUAUGAUAAUUUCUCUCCUCUGCAGAUUUCCCGUCAAUUUCUCCAAUAUCAACCACAGGUUUCUCAUUCUCAUCACUCCCUCGGGGUCUUGGAUCAAACACAAGAGACCUCCCUUCUCUCCCAUGUUCAAUAGCAUCAAUUUCUUCAACACUUGAAUCAUCAGAUAUUACCUCUACCUUUUCUUGUUCAUUAUCAGCAUCAAUCACUUCCUUAUCUUUACUAAAAUACCUAAAAGCACCAAAAGCGCUUUUCUUUGCCUUCUCUAAGUGAUAUCUCAAUACAUUCCCCAUACGAACACCUAAGUUUUGAUUUUCACCAUACCCAUUUGCCUUUUUCGAGCCAAAAGCUUGAUUAGACUUAUCAGCAAACCCAUAUUUGAGUGUUCUACACGGGGCAUGAACUUCUCUUUUCAGUGGAGGCUUGGCUUCUGGAUACCUGGACAUUCGCGAAACGGUGCUAUUUGAUGAAAUUAGGGUUUGGUUUUGGUUUUGCUGCGUGUAAUUGAACCUUGGCCGUUUCGAUAUAUGCAAAUUUUGAUACGGGAUUUGGUAAUUCAAGUACUCGUCUCCCCGCUUACGAUUGCUUGUUAAAGCACCCAUCGAAAUUGAUGCUCAGAUUGGAAGACCCUAGAAACUUCAAAUCCAUUUACACGAACACAUGAUGCAAAAUUAGGGUUUUCUGAUUAAACAAACGUAAUUUGAAAAAAAAAAAAAAACAAAGCGACUGGCUAAACGGUAAAUGCAACGAUUAAAAAUUUAAAUUUUUGAGCUAAUGGCAAAUUUAAAAUCGAACAAAAGCAAGGAAUUGAGAGAAUUAAACAGAAGCCCUAACUUGUGAUAAAAUUGUCCGAAGCAAAAAUACGUAAUGCAGACAGAACGAAAUGCAUAAACAGAGAGAUUUGUUGUCAGGGUUUUGAGCAAUCUCGACGGAUUUUUGGAUCUGAAGAAAUUGGUAGCUUAUUUGUAAUUUUCUGUUUUCUAAUUUUUGAUAUAAUUUUUCGCGGCACAUAGAAGAAAAAAAAUCAAGUAUAAAAUGGAAUUACGGAAACUAAAAAGUUCGAGAGUAGAUGCGCACCGUUUGUGUUUGUGUUAGUGUUAUUAUUAUAAUAAUAAUAAUUAUUAUUUUAAUUGUGGUAGACGUCGGAUGGCAAGUUCACAUGCGUGAUGCGUCACAGAUUCAUUGGUCGUCCAGGUAGCAUUAACGUACAGGGGGCUAGUAUCUUUCAGUCCAUUUUCCUCUCUGUAAAUAAUCCACUCCAAAUUAUCCAAUUCAUGCAAUUUGUCACUAAAUUGCCUAGAAGCUAGAACAGCUAAUCUGACGAUAAAUUACUUUAAAAUUCAUGAUAAUCACAUUAUUAAUCAAAUAUUACGGGAAAUUGUUUAUAUUCAUACUUGGUCUAAUACAAUAAUCUUCCCAGGUAAUAUAUAUUUAUUUUACACCAGUAUAUCCUAAUCUAAAUCCUUGAAAUCAUGAGGUAGCAUAACAAUUUGCCCUUUGAUGGUUGUGCCUCGUGCUAUUAUUGAUUCACAUCACUUGUAUUGAUACGACUGUCUUAAACCAAGUUGCUGAUUUUGACUAUAAGAAAAUCAUAUAUAAAGAGUUGAAAGUGCUUGAAACUACGUGCACUGUGCCGUCCGAUUCAUAUUACACCAUUUCCUGUCGCAUAACCAAAUUCACUUAUUGUUGAAUGGUUCAGAACUCUGUUUAUGUCCCAUCUCGGUUGCCUUAUCAGUAAAAUUGCUGAACAUGAGGGCAACAGCAUCCAAUGCCAGCAAUGAUGAUCGGUUGGCAAACUCGAAAAGCAACCAACCCAUUGGCUAAAUUAAAAAAAACUUUUGAGAAAUUAUGAGAAUGGAAAAGGAGAAAUCUGGAGCUUUUCAGGUUUUUCACAUCUCUAAGUUGGCAGCGUUCAAGGCUCUACUUACGGUGAUAUAAACCAAUGGCAAGCAAAUCAAUCAAAUUACAUCUGAUUCAAAUUUAAACAAAAUGGGAGGAAGAAUGAAAAUAGUUACCUCCCAAAUAUCUUCAUCUGACUACGAGUCAAUAGGGUCAAUGUUGCUUCCUACAGUCCCUUCGAAAAGAAUUGGUUCUUGAGGAAUUAUCCCAAAACAAGACCUCAGAUCAGCAGAUCAAGCUUGCAAAUGUCAAUUCCGUCGAUGAUAAUUUCCCCACCUAGAGGCUCCACCAACCUAAAGAACACUUGUAGAAGAGUUGACUUGCCACUUCCUGUACGGCCAACUACUCCAAUCUUUUCUCCUCCUUGAAUGCUUAAGAGUUAUUCAUUUCAGAACCGGAGGCGUGUUUGACCUAUAUCUAGCCCUGCUCACCGAAAUUCAUCAGUUUUAGAACCCUUUAUGAAUAAUCCAACAGUAGAGAGACUUGUUUCAUGUUGAACUAGAAAAAGAAGUUACCUGCACAACUCAAUGUUACCAUUGCUAGGACAGUUUGGUAGGGAAAGAGCAUUUAUCAUAUUCCAUGGAGCUGCAGACGAAAUGUUUGUAACCUACUUGAUCCUAUCAACAGAAACCAUUCGGUUCUCUAAGAAGCAACCCAUGUAUAUGGUCCAAAAACAGAACACCAUUGAGAGGCAGGGCGUAGGAAAGCAAUGUAGCAUCAUAGAAAUGACCACUGGACUGCAACGGCAGAAGGAUUUCAACUUUUUAGGGACUGAAUAAGUGAACUUGAACACGAGAGGCAUGUCAGCCAAGAUGCCGAUGGCAUUGUUUAUCAAGAAAAAAUAACUCGAAGCUAGCUUGCUUUUUCUAGACUAGCCUUCUUCAACUAGCCAGGAGAUAAGUAAAACAACUAGAUAAAUAUUAAUGAAGUGUAAACAACAUGUAUGUAGCAGGCAUAAUGGAAUUAGAGAUAAAAAAGAACAUAUUGCUCAAGCGACUCCCAAGAAUUGGAGAUUUAACUGAUCGGCUAAACCAAUAACCUGGAUGAAAUCUCUCAAUAGUUAAAGCCUCUUUGGGUGGUACAGGAAAUGCAAGGGUUUGCAUCUCACUUCUAAUGGCAGGGGAGGAGUUUAAUUUAUAAUUUAAAUGAAAAAUACCCAAAUGAAAGAUGUUGAGAAAUUUAGGUGUGGGCAUAGGUUGGCUUCGAUGGGACAUGGGAGUAUAUGAAAAUCCAACCCAACCCAUUAUUGAAUAAAUUGAAAUGAAAUUAAGUCAACCCAACUAAAUAAAUAUAUUCAACUUAAUUUAAUCGAACCCUUCAAUCAUCAUGUUGGGUUGAAUGUCAAAUUGAAAUUAAAAAUUAAAUAAAAAAAGAUAUAAAAUUGAAGUGAAACUUAUUGAAAUUAAAUAAAAAUGUAUUAUAACAUUAAAUUUUCAUUUACUGUCUAGUAUUCGAUAAAGAAAGAUAAAAAGUAAACCAUCUUAAGAUUAAGAAAAUUUCGAAAAUAAGCUUCUAGACAUGCAUGUUUUGUGAAAAUAAAUAAGCCAACUCGUUCUUAUUAGUUAAAGUACAAUUAAAAAAAAUUAAGAACGAAUAAUUGAAAAAAAAUAUAUUGCUUUGAUUACAAAUUGAGAUUUGAGAGAGUAACUUUAGUAUUAGAACUAAAAUCUAGAGCAGUGGAUACGAGAAAGAAAUAAUCUCUUUCAUAAAAAAAUAUUAAAAAUUAGGUUAGUUGUUUAGGUGUUUAGGGUUUCGUAGUGCUUGCUUGAUAUGACUUAUUUAAUAGCUGUAAGUGCUUAUUUAAUCUCAUAAGCUCUUAUCAUAAUUUUGUUAUUGUUUGGUUGUUUUUCUAAUAGAGAUUUUGAAACUUAAAUAAGUUAUUUUACCUCUACUAGUAAAAGCUCAAAUUUUAGGCUUUUGGGAGUAGAAGUUGAAUUUUUUUUUAAAUGUUAAAAUAUCUAAAAUAUCCUAUACUUAUUUACAAUUUUAUUUUAUUCUUUUUAUAACAUAACUUUUAAAAUUUUGUUUAUUAAAGUAAUUUCAUAAAUUUUUAAUAAAAGCUCUUAUUGACAACCAAACAACUAAUUUUUUUUUUAGUAAAAGCUCUACUAACAAAAACUCUACUUAAAUAAUCUCUAUUUGAAAAGCUAUACCAAAAAGAGCCGUAAUCAAAUAUUAACAUAUUAUUAUUAUUAUUAUUAUUAUUAUUAUUAUUAUUAUUAUUAUUAUUAUUAUUAUUAUUAUUAUUAUUAUUAUUAUUAUUAUUAUUAUUAUUAUUAUUAUUAUUAUUAUUAUUAUUAUUAUUAUUAUUAUUAUAUAUGUCGGUCAAAUUGGAUAAAAUGGUUCAUAAUAAUUAAUCUAACCAAACUUAAUUAUUAAUUAGAUUCGAAAAAAUUAACCCAAUUAACUCACUUAACCCCUCAAAAUCAUAUUGGAUUGGAUCAGGUCUAUCAUAUUUGAAUUGAGUUUGCCCACCUCUAUAAUGAGAAUAACGAAGAAAACUUAAGAAAUAUUUCUAUGCUCUCUCAUUGAAACUCACAACACAUUAAAAACUUAGGACUUGUUUGAUAUUAAGAAAAAUUAUAAUAUUAAAAUAUUUUGUAAACAUUUCCUACUAUAAUUUAAAAGUAAAGUUAAUUUAAUACUAUACUUGUAUUAUAAACUGAUUUAAUACUAUACUUGUAUGAUUAAAAAAUCCUAUAAUAUUUUUAAUUAUUUUUAUAAAAAUAAUUAUUUAAUAAUCGUAUUUACUAUAUACUAUCAAUUUUUAUUUAAUAAUUAUAAUUUUCUUCCUCAUAACAACUAUAGUUUAAUUAUAGCUUAAAAAAUCACAUUAUCACAAUACCAAAUAAGACAUUAAUGAACUUGUAUCUUUCCUGACUUUUGGGCAAAUGAUAAUCAUAUGAAAAGUAAAUGCUUGCCGACGAAAACAUUAUGUAAAAGGGUGCCUCUAAGUUACGUUAAGCGUAACUUACGUUUUUUGUCUUUUUUCUUCUGGCGAAUUUCACACGAGUCCUUGUAUUCUUUAUGUUUAUGGAUGUAUUUGCCUUCUUUUAUCAAUUAUACAUCUAUUUUUCAUUCUUUCCAAUGUUCUUUUUAUUUUUUUAAAUAAUAACAUACGAUUAUCAAAUGGCCAAACCUAGGUUACGUGUAACGUAACAUACAUUCAAGAAGUGAAAUAUCUAUUGGCACCCUUGAAUUUUAUGGAAACUACAUUAAUUGAAUUAAAAUGGUAAAUUAAAAUAUCAAAUGGUAUCUAUUAAUCAGAAUUAAUCAGAGUAUAUGUUGAUAAUGUCCUUUAAUCAGAAUUAAUUCUUAGGAAUGAUUUUAACGGUAAUUCUGAAAGCUAUUGCAUGUUAAUUUUGAAGUCUGUCAUGUAUAUUUUUUAUAUUUUUUAUAUAAUUUCUCUUUAAUUUAAUUAUAUAAUUAAAUUACAUGCAAUAAACCUACAAUUCAAGACUAGGAUUAAUAAAUUUAGGACCAGAAGUUUAUUCUGAAUUUAUAGAUUUGUAUGAAUUUGAUAAUCAUUUAAUAAUGUUUAAAGAAAUAAAUAAAACUUUAGAGAAAAUAAAAAAAUCGAUAGGAGGGAUGGAAGAAGACAAAUACAUCCACAGCUGUAAAAAUUGAAAAUAAAAAGAAUUAGGAGGGCUCAUAUGAUAUUUGCCAAAAAGAAAAAGACAAAGAACGUAAGGUACAUUGAUUGUAACUUAGGCGUUCCCGUUGUAAAAUUAUUUUAUUUUCUUUAAAAUCACACUUGAAUGCGUUCUUAAAUUGGUAGACGAAGAAAAACUCCACGCAAAGAAUCUGAAGAAUAUGAUUAGAUCACGGCACAUGGCGGCUACGACUAAUGAUAUGGCACAAGAAACUUUCCCAAGAUUUUUUGUCAGAUACUUUUAAUUGAGUCUGCCUUGUGGACUUGACUAGCUUACAGGAUCUGUAAGCUACAGACUGCAGCAUCAGCCGUUGGAUGUGGUUGGAUGUGGAGUGAGAAACUAAACAAUAGACAAUCGGAUGGUGGGAUGACGGGAAAUGUUUGUUACAGAAUCUGUACCAUAGACAGGUCCCUGCCUUGUAUUCAGGAGCCCUUAUGGCUUAUGUUAAUGCACAUAAUAGACAUUAAAGUACUGGUAAUGUACGGUAUACAAAUACAAAGUAAAUGAAACUAGGAAAUUGUAUUACAAUGAAUAUUUCUAUUUGUUGACUAUGAUUCACAGAAGUGAAGGCUAUGAACAAAACUGAAGAGAGAAGUUGAAUGUACAGGCACAAUAUCUGUUCUCACUAAAUAUUUGCGUGAAAGAAGGGCUGCUUGGCCUUGAUUGGGGGAAUUUAAAAAAAAAAUGCAUCUGCAGUCUACAUCUGAAACACUUAUUUUAAAAAAAAAAAAAAAAAACCUGAAUUAGCACGGAGUGACAUUGAUUGAUUAAUUUAUCACAGUUCAGGUCAAGGAAGGGAAAUUACCUUGUAUAAAAAUCACACGAGCUGCACGACAGCAGCCACUCUCAAGGUCCCAUUUUGGAGAAUAUCAGCAAGCUCAUCAAACAACAGAGCUGUGCGCCAGCCCCAUCCCUUUGGAGCCUUUGGUAAAAGAGUGCCCCUCUGUUUGAAGCUCCCAAACACCAUGACUUCUCUCUUUGAUGGGCAUAUCAACUAAUAACAGGCAUAAAAAAAGCAAAAUCACAACAGGUACCCUUAGGGUUUGUGUAUAUAUAUAAGAAUUUUGAUUUACCUGAUAACGAGCAGUAACCUUUUCACGAGAAUCCACAUACAUAUGAACCUGAAAAGAUGAGUCAGUAAUAUCAGCAGGAAAGGAGGUAAUAAUUAGAAACUUUUCGGUCAAAAAUAUGAAAAUAAAAAGGUGCGGACACACAGAAACAAAUAAACACGUAAUCCAGCUUCAUUUUAUCAAGACUAAGGCUGACCUUUCGAUAAGAAUCAGUAAUCUCUGCCUUCCGACGGUGAAGAAACAAUCCUGAAAUUAAGUAUUUAUCUCUAGUGAUGCUGGUCCUGAUAGGACAAAUUAUUUUAAAGAAAAUAUUUCCAUGAACAUUACCAAGAGUUCGGCGCCCUUGAGGAUCUUCAUCGUUAAAAGCCUGAACACUUACCUGAAAUUCAAAUAGAGCAUAUAAAUCCAAACUCUACUAGAAAAGGUCAAAGAUAAACCCCAAUAAAGUUUUCAAUCUAUGAACAGAAAGACAUGUUGAUAUUUGGAUACCUUCCACAGAGAACCUGCAUAAAAAUAUUCUGGAGAGUGCUUAACUUGGCCAUCACUGAGCCUGUGCACAUCCUCAAAUUCAAUCCUGCAGAACCAGCCAACUUUUCACAACAUAAUACCACAUGUAACACAUGCCGUUGACCAUGCAAGGGAAGAAAAUGUUACCCAAAACGAAAGGGAGGGAAGUGACUCAGAGGUGUUUUCAUAUCCAAUGAUAUAGAAGAGCCAUUUGCAUUCUCCCACUCAAUUCCAACAGCAUGCUCUGGUGACUCGAGCAUCUGCAUGGAAAUACCACUAGUACUUGGACCUGAGAUAGAAGUAGAAGACAAUCUGCUUUGCAGCUCUGCCUCAUCUCCAUGAACAUUAGCCGUAUCAUUCCCUCCUUGGCUUAACCCAACAAUAGCUGUCAACCCAUCUCCCGAUAGGUCUCCACUGUGGUCAGUUCUAGCUUCUGCAUCGUCAUUAGCCGGAGAUUGCUGACAAUUUCUAUUGCCCAUGCCAAAGGGCACACGGGAAAAGACAAAUCGCGUAGGAGGCCAUGCAGCAGCCGGCACAAAUGUAGUUCCCCGUCCAAUACCUGCAAGCCCAUCAAUUUGACCCCUAACAUGAACUCUUACAGGCCUGAAGAGGCCAUUUGCUUCACCUUGAGAAGAAUCAGCAACAUAUAUAUUUCCAAUGCUGCCAGGUGAAUUACUCUGAUCAUGGUCUUGCAUAUAAUAUCCACCGGCUGUAACUCCAUGGGAAAAUCCAAAAGGUUGCCUGCAAGUGCAAGCCAUACUAAUACGGCAGCAAUUUUUGCACGUGUCAGCAACAAUUUGUUGCACCCUCUGGCUUAAAAGCAUCUACAUGAUAACCAAAAAAUUGAAAAGAUUAACAUCCUCAUAUAUGAAUAACUUAAAAAAAUAAAAUAAGAGCUUUUCGAUGGGAUUGGUGACUUUGAAUGCUAAAGGGAAAAAAAACUGGUGAUGAACACCCUGUUUGUAUGCAAAUAUGCAGCAUACUCAUCCCUUUUGUACAAGUAUCCUCUCUACAUAACAAUAAACAAAUAAUGAUAGAAGGAACCUGCAGCCAAAGACCAUCAUUUACAGCUUUGCAAGGAAAUCCCAAUUCUUCAAGCUGCUUUCUCACAUUUAAAAGUGCCUCAAAAGACAUGUUGCAGUAUAAAAGAGAGCCGCCUUCAAAUAUAUUGACAAAAGCAUCAUAUUCCUCGCCACUCACCCCAGGAUUCCCUUUAGCAUUACCAUUUACCUGUCUUCUAUCCACAACCCUGCCACCCCAUGAAAGAGCAGGCAUGCCACAUCUUCCCCAAUCAUUCACCAUACAGGAAGAAUCCAUUGAAGAGCAAUGUUUUGAUUGGUCACUUGCAAGCCAACUGCUGUUAUUUAUACAGUAGCACGGGCUUUCUUCAGAUGGUCCCUCCAUAGAAAGAGUAUUGGUCCCCAGUCCCCCGGUUCCAACUCCUAUUGCCAUUUCACCACAAGAACAUGAAGCUCUAUUUCUAUCUGUAUUCGAGUAUGAACUACACAAAGAUGAAGAUUGAUUCAUGUUGCAGGUAUAUACAGGCUCCAAUUUUGGGCGAUUGUAUACAGCUUGUUGCAUCUGUUGCUUGGAAUCAGAAACCCCUGUUUGUAAGUCAACCACACAGUCUGCAAGCUCAACCAGAAGAGUGCGAGCCGCAUUCUGGCCCUCCAGGUCAUCUGUUAAAUUUAAGUAUCCUUGCUGAGAAUUCAACCUCUUAUUCAAGCAGCUAUUGGUCAAAUUUUUUCCCUUUGCUUUAUAAGAAUCAGGAGAGAUACCUGCUCCCGCCUUAGAACUGGAACUUCCUUGCUCAAAACAUUCUGUCUUACAAAAAGCACCUUUUGGGAGGAAUGCAUACAAAGCCAGUUCAAACCUUUUAAUGAAAAACAUGAAAAAAAUUAUUAUACUAGUUCAUGAAAUUUCAAGCUUUGAACCUCAAAUCACAACUCUUACCGUUGUUCUUCACUUGGUACCCACAGUUCAUCUGAGGUCAGCAAUGCAUGCAAAGUUUGAGGAGACAGUUUUGGAAGCACCUACAUGAUCAGAAUGAUCAACAAUAUAAGGCCCAAUUGUCCAAAAUCAAACUACAAAUUUUACAAGGGAAAAUCUUCUACAAGUUAGAAUUGAACCAUAAAGUCACAAUUGAAAUCACAUUAAAAACCUUUGGUAUAGGAAGCCACAUUAUUCCUAAGGUGGACAAAUCAAAAUUAUUUGAAUAAAUUGUUACGGACAAAGCCAUGCGGCAAAAGGACAACAUAUACAACAAUGCAGUCAAAAAUAUUUUACCUCUUUCAAUUCUACAGCACCGCUUUGACAAAGGUAGCCCCAACAAGCAUUCCUUACGCGUUCUCCAUGUAUGCCAUAAUCUUGAUUCUCCGCAAAUACCUGAAAUUACAAUUAUGACUUAGUUUGAGAAAAACAAAAAUGCUUUAAAGCAAUUAAGGUAACAAAAAGCAUGUUUAACCUGGUAAGCUAAGAAAUUUGAAGUCCACAACUCGGAUAUAAUAAAAUCAGUGCAUAUUGCACAUAAAUCCUGCAUCAAAAACACCACUAUUAACACAAAAUGGACAUUAACACCAUAAAAGAUAUAAAAAUCAGUGAAAAGAAUAUCAUUUAACCUGAAGGUCAAGAAAUGAAGCAGCAGCCAAAACUCGAAAAGCAUUAGCAUCAUUAAGCUUAGGACGAUGGCCGUACAGAUACGCCAAAGCCAUUGCAAUUGCCUCCCCAUUCACAUUCUUAUCAUCCACGUGUAACGUCACCACUGGAGCACUCGCUUCCUUCCAAUGAUCGUGUAACAUGUUCCUAAAAAAGAAUCAUUGUUUCAUGUAAAUUUACUAUUACGUCCACGUUCUUCAGUGGAAUUUAGUUAGUUAUGGCGGAUACCUAAAGUAAGAGCUGCGAGAGAGGAUUAAGCGAUGGAGGUGGUAGGUGGACCCCAUGACGUGAACGAUGAUAUCAGAGAAGGAGCCGGAAUUGAAGCCUUCCAUUUGGAUGUGAUCGCAGAGAGACGUCAGAUUACAAUCGAGCGCACGUAAUUCGCCGCUGCUCCGGUCGUUGUCAGUGUGCUGCGAGGGUGGUAUCGUCAUUUUGACUGGCUGGUGUUGUUGUGGCCCAUACAAUCGAGGUCUGAUGUAGUGCGGUUCCAUUGUACGUCACCGUUUCGAGGUUUGGUUUGAGUUAGUUAUUUGUGUUAGAGAGUCGUCGAGAUCGGAGAAGGCAUUGUUUGAGGAAAAGCUCGCUGAGUCUGUGUGGAUUGGAAAUGAAUCCUAACACUGGUGUGUGCGCUAUUGCCUGUUAGUAUGAGAGACGAGGUAAAACGCUGCGUUUUAGAAACCGAAUAACAGAUAAAAAGACGAUCCGUUGUGCUGUGACGGUGCUGUUUUAAACGAUCAAACUGCCAGGGUCCAGGGCUAGUCGAUUCCACGAACCAGAGAGUCUUUACUCAUUGGUCAAAAGUUGGGAUGAUUAAGGGUAUUUCAGACUUUUCAUAAAAAUUUGGGCUAGAUUUCAAAAGAACUACAGCGAGGUUCUAUUCGUCAUGAAAGGUUCUCCGGAUGGCUUAUCAAACGAAAUUGUCCUAGAAUCUCACAUAAACCCUGCUGGUUCUAUGCGCGCAAUCUUUUCAAGGUAAAUGAAUUAUCUCGAUUAAGAAAAAUUUGUUUUUUUUAUUUUUAACUUUUUUGAUAUACAGUGAAGAAGCAAUAAUUUUUGCCUCUUUUCUUGUUUUGAAUAUCGAACUAUAUACUGUGUUAAUGUUUAUGUCUAUGUAUGCAGGGUAUUGUUGGAUACACGCGUGCUCUGUUUUGGGUUAUUUUGUUCAACUUAUCGAUAUAGAACAGAAAGGGCGUAGCAGAAUUUUGUCAUGUCUAUAUGAAGAUGCUCUUAAGAAACCCAGGUAAAAUGAGUGAAAUGGUUCUCUCUUUUUAUAUCUUCAAAUGGUUUUGGAUCAUAACUUGUAGUUGCUGGAUUUUGCUACGAAUUCAGGAAGAAGACUACGGUAUCAAAUUUUUGAUAUUUCUAAAAGGUUAUCGUCAUGGUCGGAUGGGUCUUCCUUUGGGUCUGAUGGGAAAGUUGUUUUGUUUGGGGAUGGGAGUUAUCAAGGAAAUUCGAGAAUGAAUGAUUGGGCAAGAACAGUUGUUGAUGAUGUGUACAAUAUUUUGCAUGCCGGUCCUUGGGGACCUGCUGUUGAGAAUGCUUUAUCCUCACUUGAUGGGAUGCCUCAACCAGGACUAGUUAUUGGAGUCUUGAGGAGGCUGAAGGAUGUCAAUCUAGCAAUAAAUUAUUUUCGGUGGGUUGAGAGGAAAACUGAUCAAGCUCAUUCUCUAGAAGCUUACAAUUCACUUCUUAUGGUGAUGGCUGUGAGCAAAAAUUUUGAGCCUCUAGAAGAGAUUUUGGGCGAAAUGAGUCUUGCAGGAAUUGGUCCUACAAAUAACACAUGUAUUGAGUUAGUUGUAAGCUGUGUCAAGUCAAAGAUGCUGAGAGAAGCUUUUGAUAUUAUCCAAACCAUGAGGAAGUUCAAAUUCCGCCCUGCUUUUACAGCUUAUACAACUUUGAUAGGUGCACUUGCUACGGUUCGGGAAUCAAAUCUCAUGCUCAAUCUCUUUCAUCAAAUGCAGGAGCUAGGUUAUGAAGUAAGUGUCCAUUUGUUUACAACUCUCAUUCGUGUGUUUGCCAGGGAAGGACGAGUUGAUGAUGCUCUCUUCCUUUUGGAUGAGAUGAAGAACAAUGCUUUUAGUGUUGACAUUGUUCUUUAUAACGUCUGUAUUGACUGCUUUGGUAAGGUGGGAAAGGUUGAUAUGGCCUGGAAAUUCUUUCAUGAGAUGAAAGCACAAGGUGUAGCUCCUGAUGAUGUAACUUAUACUAGUAUGAUAGGGGUUCUCUGCAAAUCUAAGAGACUGGAGGAAGCUGUGGCGAUGUUUGAGCAAAUGGAUCGUAACAGAGAAGUCCCAUGUGCAUAUGCUUAUAACACCAUGAUUAUGGGUUACGGCUCAGUUGGAAAGUUUGAUGAGGCAUUCAGUUUAUUUGAAAGGCUAAAACAAAAGGGAUGCAUACCAAGUGUAAUAGCAUAUAAUUCCCUUCUUACUUGCCUAGGGAAGAAAGGAAGAGUAACAGAAGCAAUGAAGAUCUUUGAGGCCAUGAAGAAAGAUGCAAGGCCCAAUAAUACAACCUACAACGUUCUUAUUGACAUGCUUUGCAAGGCUGGAAACUUUGAGGAUGCUCUGAAGUUUCGGGAUGCCAUGAAAGAAGCUGGCUUGUUUCCUAAUGUAAUGACUGUAAACAUAAUGGUUGACAGACUGUGUAAAGCUCAAAAACUAGAUGAAGCUUUUUCUAUAUUUGAAGGAAUGGAUCACAAAACUUGCACCCCAGAUGCUGUUACUUUUUGCUCGCUUAUAGAUGGCUUAGGCAAGAAUGGCAGAGUGGAUGAUGCAUACAAGCUUUAUGAAAAGAUGUUGGACACUGAUCAGAUUCCAAAUGCCAUUUUAUAUACUUCCCUGAUGAGGAACUUCUUCAAGCAUGGCAGGAAGGAGGAUGGUCACAAAAUAUACAAGGAAAUGGUGCAAAGGGGCUGUUCUUCUGAUUUAAUGCUCCUUAACACCUACAUGGAUUGUGUUUUCAAAGCUGGAGAAACGGAGAAAGGCAGAGCUUUGUUUGAGGAAAUAAAAGCUCAGGGGUUUGUUCCAGAUGUGCAGAGUUAUUCCAUCCUUAUUCAUGGCCUUGUGAAAGCAGGUUUUGCCCAUGAAACCGAUCAGUUGUUCUAUGCAAUGAAGAAGCAAGGCUGUGUUUUAGACACCCGUGCUUACAACACAGUUGUUGAUGGAUUUUGCAAGUCUGGGAAGGUCAACAAAGCAUACCAGCUACUUGAGGAAAUGAAGACAAAAGGUCACUAUCCUACUGUUGUUACAUAUGGUUCUGUCAUUGAUGGGCUUGCUAAAAUUGACAGGCUUGAUGAAGCAUACAUGCUUUUCGAAGAAGCAAAAUCAAAAGGAAUAGAGUUAAAUACUGUUAUUUAUUCCAGUCUUAUUGAUGGUUUUGGGAAAGUUGGUAGAAUUGAUGAAGCAUAUCUUAUAAUGGAAGAGUUGAUGCAGAAAGGUUUGACACCUAAUGCAUACACUUGGAAUUGCUUGCUUGAUGCCUUGGUGAAAGCGGAGGAAAUUAGUGAAGCCUUUGUCUGUUUCCAGUCCAUGAAAGACUUGAAAUGCACUCCCAACCAUGUAACUUACAGCAUUAUUAUAAAUGGUCUUUGUAGGGUUAGAAAAUUUAACAAGGCCUUUGUAUUUUGGCAAGAGAUGCAAAAGCAAGGGUUCAAGCCCAAUACCAUCACCUACACUACCAUGAUCUCAGGACUUGCAAAGGCUGGUAAUAUCACGGAGGCUAAUGGGCUGUUUGAGAGGUUUAAGGAAAAUGGAGGUGUACCUGAUUCUGCUUGUUAUAACGCUAUGAUGGAAGGGUUAAGCAAUGCAAAUAGAGCAAUGGAUGCAUAUACACUUUUUGAGGAAACUCGGCGGAAAGGUUUUAACAUUCAUACCAAAACUUGUAUUAUUCUCCUAGAUGCACUGCAUAAAGCUGAAUGUCUCGAGCAGGCAGCUAUUGUGGGUGCAGUCUUGAGAGAAACUGCAAAGUCUCAACAUGCAGCGAGAUCUUGGUAACAUGAUUUCUUAAUUAGUUUUCAGGGGGCUAACUGUUUUGGUAGAAAGGGGAAAAGCCUGAUACCAUAAGUAAUUUCCGUAUCAUUGGACAACAGAGUUAUGCUGGUAACAAUUCUUCAUCUUAUCACUUUCUUAAUGUGAAUUAAGUUGCCCUGAUAAGAGGGAUUUCCUUACUUGUAAUUUAGGUAAUCCAAUUUGGAACGAAUUGAUGUUUUGCAAAUGAAAAAUGAACUUGGAUUCAGUGCUGAACUGAUUUUUUUAAGAUUGUGAUUGAUAGUUAUUGGAUAAGAAGUAAUAUGUAAUCGAAUUCUAACUGUCUAUGAAUGUAUGUAUGGUUGAAGAUUAUGAAAAGCUCGGCAUAGCUCGGCAUUGGAUUCAAAUUCAUUUAAAAAAAUUCUAAAGUUCCAAUGAUUCUGGACAGUGAACUUUACAGAUUGGGUAAUAUAAAUUGGCAACCCCGUGCAGAGACUUGGUGUGCCCCUAAUAUGAUAUUUAAUGGCAUGAAGUUUAUUUUUAUUUCUGCAUCCAUGGCUCUGCAAAUGUCACAAUCUUCUUAUUGCAUUCUCCAAAUCCGAACAUGAUUGAAAUUUAGUAUUUUAUAUUUGCUUAAAAAUCAAUGGAACAACCGCUAAUUUGUGAUCAUUAUUAAUAUCUUCUCAAAUUCCUAGGACAAUUGUUUCACUUGAUUCUUAUGAGGUCACUUCCUUAGAAGUUUGUUGCUGCAUCUCAGAGCUCUGUUAAAUUCUGCUCCAACACUACUUAGCUAACUCAUGGAUUGCAGAGAACAUUGUCUAUUUGUCUGAGAGUCUUCUCCUUCAUAGUUAGCCUCCUUUUGGGGUACAAUAUCGAUGCCAUAAUCAAAUUCUUUCGUAUCCCCUUGACCGGUACGAGGUACUUAUCUGUCAAAAUGCAUAUCUUGGACAAGCAUUAUUGAUGCGGAGUUGCGAACCAUCUUGUUCUGUGUAACCUACUUGUCAUGCAUAAUAUCGUAUUUUGAGAGGUAAAUCCCACAUGAAAUAGUUGGUUAUCUUAAUAUUUUGAAAGGUGAUAUUUUAACCAUUUGUACCGUGACUAUUUUUUUUAAUGUUUCAAAUUCAAAUAGAAGGGCUUGCGUUUAGAAAUGUAGUUAGCUUUUGGAACAGCAUUUGCAGACAAUAUUGGCUCUUCAUUUACCUUCUUGUGAGUGGUGAUACUAAAGAUGCAGUUUGUUGAUUAGAUUCUUUUGCUUGCAACUUCUGUUGAUUAAAUGCUCGAAUACCAUGCUUAAAAACAGCGAUAAAAGAAAAAAAAAAAUCGAUGCAAGAGUAUCAUCUGCCUGUUUCUGGGGAAGUACAUAAAGUUGGAGAUGUGUAUAGCAGGCUGUUAAAUAUGAACAAAUAAAUUAACUGCUCACUGGAAAUUAAUCAAAGGUGCCACGGCCCAAAGAAGUUUAUUAUAAUUUGAAGGGUAAUUGUCAGCGACCUCCCCUGAAGUUUGGCAUAUUAACAAUUAGAUAGAAUAUAUUGAUGUAAUUACAGACACCUCCCCUACCGUUAGUUAUUAGUUAAGUUGAUUGUUAGUGGACUGUCUAAAUUACUAAAAUGCCCUUCCCGCUAAAACAAUAAAUUAUUAAAGAAAACUUUGAGAACCCAUUAGCAAUAAGAUUAGUUAGAAUCACAAAACAUUUAAAAAACCAAAAUACCCCCGAUAUAAAGUAAUUGACAUUGCAUAUUAAAAAAAAAUUCCUAAAACACAUUUAUUUCAUAUAAGAGAAUUUUAAAAUAACAAAUCACAAUUCAUUGAAAAACCAACAAGGCAAUUUUGAAAUCAUAUUUCAUUUUCAUUUUCUAAAAUAAUGAACAUGCCCAUCACUUAGAUCAUAUCUCAAUUUUAAGUACAUUCAAACAAACCUUAAAAACCCACCCAAAACGAAAAUAAUAAAAAUAAAAAUAAAAACAUCUUUGUCUAGUAAAAUUAAAAACCUAAACGACUAACUAAGCAAAUCCCAAAACACCCAGAUCCAUCUACCGAUGCAACAAACUUCAUUCAAGAAGUAAACUUAGUAACAGCCUUGGUACCCUCAGAAACAAUGUGCUUAACUAGCUCACCAGGAAGCACAAGUCUCCCAACGGUCUGAAUUUCCCAAGAUGUAAUCAUCGGCUUCUUCUUGUACCUUGCAAACUCCUCAAAAAUAUUGUGCCUUGCUCGAGAUUCCAAUAUCAGGAUGGACUUGCUUUAGAACUUUAAAGAUGUAGAUCUUGUACGUCUUGAUACUUUUCUUGGCACACUUCAUCUCCUUGUCGCUAGAGGCGGCUUUCUUCGGAAGUUUCUUCCCGGCCUUUGGCUUCUUCUCCAUCGCGCCUUAGUGGAAGAUUUGAGCCAACACCAAAAUCUAAAGCUAAAAAUUUUUAUAAUCUUGAUUUCUUCACAACUUCAUAAAAAAGAUGAAAAUGGUGCUGGGUUUUUGCUUGUUUGAGCGAGAAAGGUAAGUGGGUGUUUUAUUUAAUGGAUAUUUUAGUUUUCUUUUGUCCACUAGUCAUUGCCAAACUUUGGUUAAUAGGGUGCAGCAGUCAAAAUUUAUCAUAUAUCUCGAGCUUUAUUUCAAAUUAUUUUAAUAAUUAAAUAUAUUUUUACAUAUUUACCAUUUGUACUAAUGUUAUACAUAUUUUUAUACUAAUAGCAGGGGAGGUGUCUGUAAUUACAUUAAUAUAUUCUAUCUAAGUGUUAAUACAUCAAACUUCAGGGGAGGUCCCUGAAAAUUACCCAUAAUAUGAAAGACGACACCUUGGGGGAUAUGGCCGUACAUCAUGCCACGCGUCCUAAUGAUCUCAACUUCGGCCGCUAUAAAUCUUCCAAAAUCGUUAGUAUUGGAGAAAUAUGACCGUUACCAGAAAGGUCCAACGUCUCUUUGCAACUUUAAAAUUUGAAAGAGCUAACAAAUAGGGAACUCUACCACUUUCUGUAUUUGCAUCAAAAGUUCUUGCAAGUUUAAAUCAAUCUCUUCAAAAUUCCAAUAUCUCUUGGAAAAAAAAAAUCAUCUUCCUGACUCAAGAGUAGCCAUGGCGUUGAGACCCAUUGAUAAUGCUCUCCCCAUAACUACACCGGAGAGGCCCAAAAAGCAGGUAAAAUUUGCAGCUCCAGUCCAGAAACAGCCUGAUCUCAGUGUUAAUGAUGAAAACAAGGCUUCAUUUCCGCCAUCUGCAGAUGCCUUCAUUGAUUAUAUCCCCUCCGAGAACCUCAAAGCCAUUCCUGACCCCGAGUCCAUGAUCCCAGUAAGUUUUAUUUCUAUAUAUAUCAAAUUGGUUUUGUGUUCUAUCUUUUCUAACGUUUAAGAACAAACCCAGUAGCGGUUUCGAUUAAUGUUUUUGAUUUGGGUGCCUGGUGGAUUUUUAGUGCUUAAUUGAAGGCCUAGAUUCAAAGGAUUGGACGAACGUUUGUGAAUCACUUAACAAUGCCAGGCGAUUUGCACUGCACCACUCCUCUCUCUUGGAACCUAACUUGUAAAUGCAUCAACUUUGUGUCAUUCUAUAUGUGUGUGCGUGUGUGUGUGUUUCUGUUUGUUAUGUUGUGGAGUAACAUCCAUGAGUGAUUGUGUAAUUUAGGGAAAAAGUGAUGGCGGUGGUGGUGAAGGCUAUGAAGAACCCAAGAAGUGCUUUGUGCAAAACCUCUAUUAUGGCGGCAUCUGAUAUUUUCAGUGCUUUUGGUGACAAAUUGCUUGACUCCACUUCGGAUGCACUCGAUAACUUGGUACUCCAGCUACUGAUGAAAGCUUCUCAAGACAAGAAAUUUGUGUGUGAAGAAGCAGAUAGGGCACUCAACACAAUGGUGGAGUCCAUUACUCCUCUGCCUCUGCUCCAAAAGCUUAAGACAUAUGUUAAACACACCAACCCUAGAAUCAGGGCCAAAGCUGCCAUUUCCAUAUCCAUAUGUGUCACCAAGAUGGUAACAUUAGUCAAUACAUGCAGCCUGUAUCUCUUAUUUUAUUGUGUUGCUAAUACUUUGCCGUUUUAGUGUCUAACAAAAUGAUAUCAAUAACUUUCAGGGCCUUGAAGGAAUGAAAGAGCUAGGGUUGGUUUCGUUGGUUCAAGUAGCUGCAGGAUUGUUGAAUGAUAGACUGCCUGAGGCUAGAGAAGCGGCAAGAAGUAUGGUGAAUUCAAUGUACAAUGCAUUUACGGAAAAUGAAGAACAUAAGCAAGAGGCAUGGCAGAGCUUCUGCCAAUCAAAUUUACAACCCAUUGAUGCUCAGUCCAUGGUCAAAAUUAUCACUUCACAGUAGAGUGGAGGAUGUUGCUGUCUAGCAGGAGGAGUUCCAAGUUCUUCUAGUCUUGUGAAGAAAAGUUUUCUAUUUCAUUAAUGAUGUGAAUGAAUCUGUCUUUUCUAUGGUUAUAUUUGAGACGACGAUGUUGAAAUAAUGUGGUCAAUUUUCUAGUAUUUUUUUUCUUCCUCCUCGCUGAGAAAAUGGCGAAAAAUCACGGAUGCAUAUCUAAAUGAUCAGUUCUUUUCUAUUUCUGCAGUAAGAAAUUUUUUUGGGAAAACUUCACAGAACAAACCUCGCACAUGAACAAAUACCCCUAAUAAUUACAGAUCUGAACAAUGACGGAUGUUACAGAAAAACCAACUAUAAAAUUCAAAUAUGUAAAGCAAAAUUGGUCAACAAUGCUGCAAAAUUGCUCCACAGCCUCAUUGCAGGUGCUUCUUGCAUAAAAAAUGUUUUGAAGAGCCCCGGGAUCUAUCUGUAAGGUCAUGUGUCCAUAUCUGAAGUUUAACUUUGCGCACUCUAGAAGAACAAACAGGUUCAUAAAAAUUAGCAAAUGAAUUAUGUUAAAUUUCUUGUGGAGGCACCAUAAUUAUGUUCAACUAAAGAGAGCAAAGCCUUCUCAACAUCCGCAAAUGGCUGCCCAGCAUAAAGCUUAAGCUGGCCCUUCUUCAGAACAAUCACCUUCUUAGUAUUUGAUUUCACAGCUGCAAGAAGUUCCUGCAAAAAAUUUAAAUUAUUUCCAUGCACUGAGUGUUUGAUUUCACACCUAAUCUCUCUCCUCACCAAACAAGUAUUUCCAAGGUUCAUUAAAGUGAUCAGAUAACUUUGAUCUAUUCAGAAAUAAAGUUAGAAUGCUUACUUUUACCGGCAGAGGAAUGAUGUCAGUACUAAAAUCCCCUAGAUCUUCAAAAAAUGAUUCAAGUAGGUGACAGAAGUGAUUGGCAUCAACAUGGUUCUCAAAAACAACAGUAUAGGAAGCAUUAUCUUGGUCCUGCACCUCUGAAGCAGUUCUUAAUGCAAAAAGACCCUCUGCUCCUUCUUGUUCAAAACCUCUUCGCAUAACAAUAGCCUGGAGUUGAAUAAAUAUCAGCCCAGUGCUCAGAGGUGCAUAGAUUUUACAAAGGACAUGCAAAACAGAAUCAGCCAGUUGAAAGCCAACACUAAGUCAAUGCUUUCAACUGGCUUUAUAGAGAGCAAGAUUAGAUGAUAUAUAUGAAAACCAUUUUGGAUUUAGAAAGGAAAACGAGGAUGUUAUAUCAAUGGCAAAAAGAUGCCCUUAAGUUUGACAUUAAAAUCACCAUAAGUAAGAUAAUAAUGAAGGAGACAAUAAAAACUACUCCUCAACUGUAACGUUAUCAAUAAGUACCUGAUACGAGUACCUAAUUAUUCACACAAUUAGAGAAAGAUGCAUCUAAAGCCAAGGCUUGAUUAUAUAAAUAUACUUUUUAAUUCUCCAACAAUUUAAAAAGUUGAAAAGUUUCGAUAACCUACAAGAACAUAAGGAAGAUUUGACCACCAGAAAUCAGACUUGGGAGCUGAUUUAUUAUCUCUUGUUAUGUCGGCUGUUGGCUUGUCCUGCAAUGCUCCUUGUUGUAAACCACCAUUUCUUUCCAACAUGCCAUCUUUUUUGGAUUCUGCAGUAGAUUCCUGGCUUUCUUUCGUGAAGUUCUGUGAAUUUUGCAUCUUCAAUUUUGAUUUUCUAGGUCUCACACCUUCAACUGACCCUUGACUAGUCUCCUGAACAGUGCCUAAAAAUUUGAUAGUGAACCAGGCAAGUACAUGAUAUCAGCAAAAGAAUAUUUAGAAUCAACUGAUGGUAGAAAAAACACAUUAAAACAUUUGCAUAACAAUUUUCAAAUUAUCAUCAUGUAAUUCAUCUUCCCCUAUUUAUGUUUUCAUCAUAAUUGUUCCCAUCAAAAGUCCAAAUAAAACAAAUUUCAAUAUUCAGUCCAUUAACAACUGAUAGAUCAAGAAUCCAGAUAUUGUAGCAUAAUUACAAACAUUUCACGAAACAAAACAAUGCAAUUAAGAUGAUCAAGUAAAAUAACAAAACUAUCAAUAACAAUUUAUGAAUCUUGCAUGGAUAAGACUCUUAGAACCAUUACCAAACCUCGUGUCACUAUUGUCUCCAACUCCCAUCUUCUUUGGCAUUUUCUCCAAGCUCUUCCCAUCAUUUUGCAAGAAAUUUGAAUUUUCACCAGAACUGCUUGCCCACAAAUCACUAUUUGAGCCUGCUCUAUCAUUCUUCCUAUUCACAUUCGCCUCACGGCUGCCCAAACUAGAGAACCCCUUAGCAUCACUUGUCAAACUCAUCGAAGGGCCUCGAAACCUAAGCUUCUUCUUAAACAUUAAGGUCUUAUUUGAAUCUUUUCCCUCCUCCUCAUCAUCCUCAAACUCAUCCAAAACAUCUAUAGACAACCCUGGUGACUUCCCAUUUCUAGAAUUAUACUUCUUCUCCACCUGAUCCAAUCUCGCGCCAAUCUCAUUCUCAAUACCAAUUCUACCCUGAGAGCUCACACUUUCAUCAUCACUACCACCCUCCUCAUCACCAUUUCUCAAUCUCCUUUCUUCAAUCUCUCGCGCUUCCCUCGCCAUUGCCCUAAUUUCGUUUAUUUUAUCUUCUACAGUUUUAUCCAUAAAAGACAUAUUUUUUUCCAUCGAAAUACUCCCUUUACUUCCCCCAUUAACACUAACACCCUUAGAAAAACCAUUCGCAUUCUUAUUCUUACUCUUCUCCUCAGAAUCUUCCUCUCCUAGAAUCCAAACAGUACAAAUUGCUUGUAACAAAAAAAGCACAACAAAACCCAACCCAAAUUGUAAGAUGGACUUUGCCGAAAUUUUACCAAAAAUGCCGCUGUUUUCUCGAGCGAGACCCUGGGUUUCCAAAACCUGAAUUUCUUUUACGUCAUCGACUAGCGGGGCAAUUUCCUCGAUUUCAUUAACGGAAGGCUCCUCAGAAUAUCCGGCGUCGUUUUCAGGUUGGGGUGCUAUGAUGAUUACGGGUUCUAAUCGCCGCGGUUUAGUUGGGGUUUUGAGGAUUUUGGGGCGAAGGUAGUUUUUUCGCUUAGUGAGUCUCCUCGGUGAGAGUGCGGUGAAAAUUGAAGAUGAAUGGGGUGACUUUAGUGAUUCUUGUGGCGUGGUGGUGGCGUUUGUGAGGGAGGCUGGGAGGUUCACGGAGGCGAAGUGGGCCCCAGCCAUCGGAGUUGGCACUGCAGUGUACAAGAGACGGCGAAAAUGUUACACGACGUUGUCGCGAAUUUUACUCAUGCUCGGCUGAAAGAUGUUGGGGAAAGAUGGCUGGAUCCAUGGGCCACGAGUGAAAAUGAGUAGGCUGGGCUCAGAGGUCAGUACGCAGCCCAAAGGCCGGCCGGAUUUUGGACUGAGAGUUGGGCAGUUGGCCUCCCAAAAUUUCACACUACAUGCCACGAAAAUGAUGGAUUGAUGAUGGUUUUUAUAUAUUUUUUUUUUCUAAGAAAAAGAAAAUAUCAAAUAGGCGAAUUUUAGUAUUUAAAUUCAAUAAGGUUGUCCAGAUUCGUGCUCGGUUAAACUAAACUAACAUGAUGUGGAAUUCAAAAAAAAAAAAAAAAACUAACAUGAUGUGUUAGUCACUUGAUCCCAGCUCAAAUAUGAAGUUAAAACAAAUAUUUCAAGUGAAGAGGAGGAUGCUGUUGCUAUGAAGUUUCCUUAAUGAUGAAGAACAAGAAGAAUGCUCUAUAAAGGUUGAGAAAAUUUUGAUUUAGGAUUGGUCGUGAAUUUCAUCAUCAGAUGGUUGUGUGAGAUUAAGGAUGAAUGUAUAAAUUUAAUAAUGUAUUAUGCAUCAUGUGUAUGUCCUCGAUUUAACAUUGAAGAACAUUUUAUGAUCACCAUGAACGAAGUCACGAACCUUUAGUCAACCGACGACAAAAUUCGGCUGAAGUUGAACAGCAAUUUUUUGAUGGUGCAAUUUUUUUCGAUCACCCACGUAAACAGAAACUGUGUGUUUCGGGGGGGGGGGGGGGGGGGGAAAUGCUAUUCUACAUAAAAAAUAAGGACUAUCUUCAACCUUGAUCGCACGGCUGAAGUUGCACCAUCAAAAUCAAUCACAGAACUUUGACAAACGUGUGGUUCAAGAGGCCAAAAUUUGGCUUUCUACUUCUACUAAAGUCUAAUGAAGUCCCGUGUUUGCAGACUCCCACAUCGGGUAAAUAAAAGAAGGAGAACAGGCGAGUAGAGAAUAAAAGCGAAGCUGAGACGAUUAGCAAAGCAUACCUUUCUCGGCCUUUUGGCUAAGAUCAAGUGUAGUAUCUGUUCUUAUCAGUUUAAUAUCUGGUAUGUGGGCCAUCGGUCCACACGAUAUUAAAUUAAUUUUUGUAGGGGGAGGGUCCGCAACGGUAGCUUGCUAUCGGGGUCCUCAAGCGUCGCUCUUGCGUUGCACUACUGCAAGAGCCUGGCGCACCCCACCAACCCUAGUAUAAAUUUUGUGGUGCUUGAUUAGGCUUGAGCAAUAGGGGAAUUCAAAUCAGAAUCGACUAUUCUCAUGAAUUUACUUAUUUAUUUAAGAUAUUAAUUGAAUUGUAGUAAGUUAUUAAAAUAUUUCUAGUUAUUAUUAUUUUUAUUAAUCAGUAAUAAUAAUGACUAUACCGUAUAGCGACUGGAUCAACUGUUGCUAAUAGUUUUAAUCAUUCCUAUAGGCGGUUGGCUGGUGCGGGGCGGAGAUCUGGAACAUGAUUUUGAUUGUGGUCGGAUAAAAGUUAUAAUAUAUUUUUUAUUAUUUAUUAUUUUUAUGUGAUUGUUAUAAUAUAUUUUUUAUUAUUUAUUAUUUUCUAUCUAUUAUUAUUAUUCGCGCUCUACUUUAGAGCAAUUUCAAAAUAACCACAGCCUUACUAGUAGUGGAUCGAUUAGGGUACUAGAGAUUUUGAUUUCCAAUUUUUAAAAUUUUUAAUUUUUGAAUUGAGGAUAAUUUGGAUAUUUUUAAAAUUUAGUGAGGGUAAAAUAUUCAAUCUAAGAAAUGAGAUUAUGAUGCAUCAAUUAUAGAGUUUAGUUUUACUAAAUAAAUGAUAAGAUUAUUUGAACCCAUUAAUUUACUCAACCCAUGAUUCAAUAGAAUUUUUAAUUACCAAUUUAUCCACAAUAAAAUUACAUAUAAGACAAUAGAAUUUAAUCAAAUUAAACAAAUAAAAACUAUAGUUCAAUUACACUUAUUUUUUGAUAAAUCAUAUCUACUCUCUCUCCUGCACAUAGAUUCAUUAUUUAAUCUCCUAUUUUUCACGUUCCUACAAUUUAAACAUUUGAUCAAAAUUUAAAUGCUACAAAAGUUUCAAAAAUAAAAAGGAAAAACAUGUCAAAUAGUAUUUGCAAACAAAUUCCCAAUAUAAAAACCUAUAAUUCUUUCUUCAGUUUUUACUGGAGAAAGAACUUAAUGUUGCUGUCUUUGCUUCUCUUCUUCUUUACAUAAACUUUCUAAUAAUCAAGGGAAAAAAAAGCAAACAAUUACACCGGUUGGAUAUCGUAUAUCUCAUGUUAACCUACACUAUGAAGACGUUAUUUUAUAUUAUAAUUCUUUCGUUAAAGGCUUAAAGCUGAUAGUAUUAUAUGUGAAGCAAAACCACAAGGGCCGCGGAGGACAAAAAAAAAAGGUUCAAUUUGCCCUUGGUUUUAAGAUGGUGGCCCCUAUUUAGGCUUUAAUCUCUUAUCAAUUAAUUAAAUAUAAAUUGAAUUUUAUAUAAUUUUAGAAAAGAUAUCAGCUGUUUUGGAGAAACUAAGAGAUUGACGUCUUUAGAAUAAAGAUAAAGAAACUAAAACGGGUGUAAAAAAAAUAAAAAAAAUGUUAUUUUAGUUGAGGUUAUUUUUAGAUUUUAUGCCCUUAGAUCAAUACUGCAUAAUAUUUGAGAUUCAACUGUUUGGAUUACAAUAAUUGUGGAUUUGAAAAAGCAUAAGAUUACUAUUAACUAGAUCAAAUUUUAAUUAUUCUCUUGAUUAGAUGCGGCUGAGAUGAAAACAAAAUAAUAAAGACCUUCGGAAAAUCUCUUUUUGGCAUUGUGGAAAUAUUUAUAUUCUAAUGGCUUACGAAGCAUACACGUGUCCUAUGCUAGCCAAAACAGCCAAACACAAGACACACCAAGUACCAAUACCCGGUGGCCUUUGUCCCAAAGCCCACCCUUCAUCUCCCGGCUUUUUGUAUGUACUUGUGUGUUUCGUGGCUCCAUCACUUGCCACACCAACCUUUUGUUGCAACCAACAUAUCCUGUAACCGCGCUCUUAAGUCUAAACCGCAAAACCAAAACACAUAAGGAUUGACAAAAAAAUAAAAUACAAAAUGACAAAACCCUAAAACUCAUCAUCACCAAAACCCAACCGUUUCAUCUUUUUGGUUUGGUAUCUCGUAUCUGCAUUCUGUCUUUGGGAAACACAAAAACACAAGACCUCAAC